GAAGACUACAUUUGCAACCUCACUAAAACAACCCUAGACUUUUCCAAGCCAUUAUGGGACCUUCAUCUCCUCAACGUCAAAACCUCCGACGCCGAGGCCGUCGCCGUUUUCAGGAUUCACCACUCCCUCGGCGAUGGCACGUCUCUCAUGUCUCUUUUACUUGCAUGCACACGCAAAGCCUCGGAUCCCACGGCUCUGCCUUCGGUUCCCAUGAUGAAGAAACCAAAAUCAUCGGCUGGGUCUGGAAAGUGGUGGAAGGCUUUCAGACUGGUUUGGAAUACGAUCAUCGAUGUUUUGAUGGUGAUCGCCACAGUGUUGUUCUUGAAGGACAGAGACACGCCUCUUAGGGGUCCGCCCAAUGUUGGAUCCACAGGACGGAGAAUUAUUCACAGGACGAUUAGUCUGGAGGAUGUUGUGAUGAUAAAAAAUGCAAUGAGCACUGUAAGUCAACUUGUUGCAUGCAUGGAAAACAAAUACAUGUUUUGCAACUGUUUUAAAAAAAACAAUUUCCUGUUUUUCAAAUAAAAUAAAUAGAAAAACACUUUAGAUAAAAAAAAAUUAGAAAAUAAGGUAUUUUCAAGGAACAACUUUCAAUUAUUUUUAUUUAUAUUUUCAUUUGUUUUUGUGAUAAUUGUUUUUUAAAAUAAUUAUAUAAAUAUAAAUAAUAAUUAAAAAUUAAAAGCACAAGUUAUUUUCAAAAAUAUAUUUAAAAAUAUAGAAAUCAAGUUAAAAAUAUUCUAGAGUCAUUCCUGAAUAAAAAUUAUUUUCCAUAAAUGUUUAUAAAAAACACUUAACAAACAAAGCUAUGAUUUUUUCUUUUUUCGACUAUGUCCCAUAAUUUUUUUAUUUUUUUAAAGCAGAGAAAUACAAAGCUUUUUUACUUUUCGAUCACUUCAAUGAAAGAGUGGGUAAUCAUAUAUUUGAAGAAGUUUACAACUCCUCUCUCAAUCAUUAGUGGAGAGAUUAAGAACUAAAAUUUUUGUGGCUCUCAUGUGCAGACUGUUAAUGAUGUUAUGGUGGGAAUCACACAGGCUGGUUUGUCUCGGUACCUCAAUAGGCGAUAUGGUGAGCUCCUAUUUUAAUUUUCAAAAUUCAUAUAUUAAGUGGUACGGUGAAGAGUAAUUAUAAUACACCACCUAGCUACUCUCUCUAUGUAUAAAAGGAUGUUAUAAAGCUUGUAUGCUCUACAUGGUAGCUGAAGGCAAGAAGAAUAAAGGGGCAACAGAGAAGAAAAAUAAUCUUCCCAAGAACCUUUCUAUCAGAGCAACUCACUUCAUUAACAUAAGACCAUCUGCAGGGAUCCAUGUGGGUGUUUCUACUUUCUUUAUCAAGCCCUCGUGAAGGAAUUAGUUAAUUUCUCUUUGGGAAGUGUUUUCAAAAAAUGAAACAAAAGUUUUUGAAAACUGUUAUUUGAUAUUUUAUGGAAUAAAAGUUUGUUUAAAAAUCUAAAAUUAAUGUUAUUUAUGUUUUCUAUGUUUUAAAAUAGGUUUUAUUAUUAAUUGAUCUCCAUAUUUUUAUAAUUAUUUAUUAAAUGGUUCUUAAAAAAUAAUCAAAAAAUAUUUUCUGAAAACACAUCAUUUUUAAAUAAUUAUUUUAUUUAAAUUUGUUUUCAAAAUUUAAAAAUUAUAUUAAAAUCAAUUAUCAAACAAGUCCUUAAUUUCUUGUCUCAUGCAUGUAUACAUUGAUAUCGUACAGACCUUAGCUGAAAUGAUGGAGAAAGGCUCUGAAGCAAAAUGGGGCAACUGGAUUGGCUAUGUCCUUCUCCCUUUAUCCAUUGCAUUACGAGACAAUCCUUUAGAUUACAUUCAAAAAGCUAAGGAAGCUAUGGAUAGAAAAAAAGCCUCUCUUGAAGCUCUCUAUAUACAUUCCAUGGCUAAGUCAAUUCCCAACUUAUUUGGCACUAAGGUAUGAAUUAAUAUCACUCAACCCUAGCUUGUUUCCUCAAAAUUAAGUACUUCUAGCUUAAUUAAUAUCACUGUCUAAUAAACAAUUAAAAGUGGUAAAUAUAGGCUCACUUCUUUCAUUGGUAAACAGACUGGAAGUGUUCUAUGCCUCAAAGUCCCCUCUCGUACGACAAUAUGGUUCUCAAAUGUAGUUGGACCCCAAGAAGAAAUUGCCUUCUUUGGCCAUCCAAUAGCCUACAUUGCUCCAAGUUGUUUUGGUCAACCCAAUGUAAGUCUUCUUAAACUUUGUUUGACAAUGUUUUAAAAAAUGCUUUAGCCUAUAAAAUGUUUUACAAAAAAAAAAUUAAAAUUUAGAAAUCACUUUCAAAAAGUUAAAAAGCCACUUAUAGAUAUUUUCAAAGAAACAUUUGAUAGAUAAUUCUCUUAAUACUUUUAAGUAAAACACUCUCGAGAAAAACACUUCAAAUUACAUUCUUAGAAUGCGUUUGAUAAUAUUUUUAUUCAAAAUGUUUUUAAUGAAAGCAUAUUCUCUGAAAAUGUUUUACGAUAAAUGUCUAUCAAAUAAUUCUCCAAAAAACAGGAUAAUUGAUUUUUCAAUACUAUAAAUAAUUUUUCAUAUUUGUAAAAGCGUUUCCCAUAUUUUAUCAAAUACUUAAAGAUAAAAAUGUUUGUUAAAAUCAUUAUCUAACUCUUAUUCAUGAAACAUAAACUUUUCUCUUUCUUAUGAAUUAUUAGCCAUUUUUAGUACUGUAAAAAUGGUGGUUGAUUCAAUCUGAAUUCGAGUCUCUUGAAUAUCUAUUGCAGGCAUUGAUGAUUCAUGUGGUGAGCUAUGUGGAUAAAAUGAAUAUCAUUCUAUCAGUUGAUGAAAGUACAGUCCCUGAUCCUCACCAGCUGUUUGAUGACCUUGAAGAGUCUUUCAACCUCAUCAAGAAUGUUGUGAUGGCUAGAGACUAAACUCCACAGAAUGUCAUGUAGCAAGGGCUAGGGUCAAUGUAAUUAAUAUAUAUAAUGUUCUGAAAUCAUUGUCUUAAGGUUCCUGCAAUAAUGAUGUUGUAUUAGAUGGCUCUCUACUAAAUAAAAAUGCCUCUCUACUGUAUUUUUAUCUUAAUUCAAGUUCAUAUUUUUUGGACUUUAUUUCAUUUUUAUUUACUGUAUUUUGAUGACUAAUUAUGGGUUCUUUCUAAUUUUAUCUUUUAAUUUUUUAUUCUCUUUUUUUUUUUUUUUUGAUUCCUCAGAUCUUUUGCAGUAUCCAUUUUUAAUUUUAAGGCUUAAAUUUCUACUUCAUUUCAUUAAUUUCUUCCAUAAUUUUUAAUUUUUAUUAUUAUUAAAUAAUUGUAAUAGCGUUAAUAUGAAGUUUUGGGCUGGCUUACAGAAGAACCCAUCUCCUAGUUUAUAUUGAUCCCUAGCAUUUUAUUAAUGGAUAUAACUAUCAAAAUGCUUUCAAAACACAUUUUCCAUUUAAAUGAAAAUAUUAAUUAAUUUUCUAUAGAAAUAUCUUCAAUAGAGUGUUAGUGACAAAAUGGUAAAAAAAGAAAAAGAAUGUUUUAACAACAAUCACCUUGAAAUCCUUCAUGUGCUACAAAACAAAUUGAUUGGUUUAUUCAUCAUGAAAUUUCAUGUUAAUUAGGCUUUAGCUGAGAUGAUGGAGAAGGAGUCUAAAGUGAAAGGGGGAAAUUGGACUGGAUCUAUGUUCCUCCCUUUUGCCAUUGUCUUAUACGAUGACCCUUUAAAUUAUGUUAGUCAAACUAAAGUCACAAUCGAUCGAAAGAAGCAUUACCAUGAAGCUAUAUUUACAUUUUUCAUUAUUAAGAUGGUUCUCAAAUUAUUUGGUGCUAAGGUAUGAAUUUCCUUAUCCUUAAUAUUGAAAUAGAUCACCUAGGAAAUUAUAGAUUUUCAAACUCCUGUUCUUAAAUAAUAAUAAUAAUAAUAAAAUCUAUUGUCUAUUUUUUGUUUCUUUCCUUUCUAUUUUCUUCUUAUGAUCUUACCUAGGAUUUUUAUUAUUAUUAUUAUUAUUUUGCAUGGCAAAUAAGUUGCAGCAUUUUUAUACCAUAGAGUUAUAAAUCAUACAAGAAUGUGCUUCUCAAAUGUAGUUGGACCUAUGGAAUAAAUCGGUUUUUAUGGCCAUCCAAUGGCUUUCCUUGCUCCAAGCGUUUACGGCUAACCUCAUGUAUAUAUAUAUAUAUAUAUAGUUAUUUGAUUAAAUGGAUUAUUGAAAACCCAAAUUUGGAAAAAUGACCUUCAUGGUUUGAAAGUAUGAACUAUGAUCCAAAAAUUAUAUUUGUAUUCAUCAAAUUUUUCUUUACAUUUAUUAUAUUUACACAUUCACUUUAAAAUACUAACUAUAUUAACACAUCACCUACAAAUUUCCAAUAUCAUAAAAACACUCUUCACAUUCUUCUCUUCUAUACCUAUCCUUUUUUUUUUUUCUCUAUUAACUUUUUUCUUCUCAAUAAUAAAUCCUAAAAGAAACUAUCUUUUAGGGCUUAUUCUUCAUGUAAAUUUUGACUAAAAAAAUAUGUUGUAAAAACAAUUAGAAAGAAUUUAUAAAAAAUUAGAAAUGAGAAAUCAUGAAAAAGUGCAAAAGAAAUUAUAUUUGGACUGAUUUUUUACUCUGUGUUUUGUGGUAGGGAUUCAUGAUUGAUUUCCAAAGUUACAUCAAUAAAAUGACAUUUGUUCUUUCUGUUGAUGAAGAAAUAAUUUCCGACCCUCACCGAUUAUGUGAUGAUCUUGAAAAGUCAUUUAAGUUUAUCAAAGAUGUUGUCAUUGCAAGAGGGUUUGUCCAUAAAAUUUCCAUAAAAUAAGAAUGAUUAGUACAUGUUACAUCUAUGUGAACUAUGAAGAUCUGUGUGUUCUUAUGGUCAUUUGCAGUUUUAAUCGUAUGUGUUUUAAGUGAAAUGUUUUAUUUUCGAAUAAAUUUUGAACUUUCUAAUGUUAUAUGUAUGUCACAUGCAUGUAUGCUUUGAAAUUUUUAUAUGAGAAUAAGACAUGUGGGUCAUGCCUUGUUCUGGGAAUGGGCCUAACUUGGGCCAGGCUUGGGCUUGAGCCUAACUGGGUCUUAAGUUGGGUUAAUUAGAACGAUGAAGUCAAAGAAUUGCAAAAUUUUGGGUUCCAUGAUAUCUCAAAAUUUCAAGAUAGUUUUUUCCUGAUUCUUACAAAAUUGGGUACAUAUCUACAUAGGUUGUUAGAGAUACUGUGAGGGAUUUGCACCACCUCAAACAAUAUUCUAACUAAAAAUGUCUCGUUCGGAUACACUUUUUCAUUUUUCUUUUUUAGAAACAAAAAGUUUUAAUAAUUUCUAUAUGAAAAUAGAAGUUCUUAUAUUAAAAAAAAGGUACAUGUUUACCCUGUGUCCUUAUAAUUUAUUUUAAAUAUUUUAAAAUUUUAGAUGAUAAUUUUUUUAAAAAAAAAAUUUAGUUUUUAAAAGUCAUUGUUUUUUGGUGUAAUUCUCUAAGAUUUUUUAUAUUUAAAAGAAAUAAUAAAUGAUAAAAAUUGUGGUAUAUAUAUAUAGAGAGAGAGAAAAAAUAUAUAUUAUGCUCAACAACCCAUUUAAAAUAAUGAUUUAUAUACUCAAAAACAGUUUAAUAUGAUGAUUUAUUUAGCUAAAUAUAUUUAAGAAUAUAAAAAAAUCAUGAUACAGAUAUGACUACUUUUUAAUUAUUUAAAAAUAUUUAAAAUUUUAUUUACAAGUUUAUACUUUUCUUAUAUUUAAUAUUAAAAUGUUAAUUUAAUUACAAAAAUGAUUAUGUAGUUUGAUAAAUUUAAAAAAAUUAUUAGUUUUAAUAUUUUAGAUUAUAAUAAAUCGAUUUUAUGUGCUUUUAUAAAUAUCAAUGAAGUUUAGCUUGGUGGUGAAGUGGCAUGAUAAAAGUUGUUUUCCUUUAUUUUUCAAAUUAUAAAGAAUAAAAUAAUAUAUAUAUAUAUAAGAUAAAUUUCACCAUACAUUAAAAUUUGAAAUUUCAUUAAAUCUAAACUUUUUCUUUAAUAAUUUUUUAAAACUUUCAUAUUUACCCUUCAUUUUCUUUCUCUUGUAUUUAUUGCGGACCAAACUUGUCAUAAAAUAAGUCAAAUUCGUUUUUGAUCUCUCUAUUCUCUAGCAAUCUCAAAUGGACCCAAGAUUGAGGCCACUCUAUCAAGACUUAAAAAUCAACACAAGGAUCAACAAAAUGUGUGGACAUUAACAUCGGAAUCAUAAAUAAUCAACUACGUACCUUUUUUAUAUUAAAUAUUAAAUGUCAUAUUAGAACAUUCUUCAAAAUUGAAAAUAAUAAAAGUAGAAAUUCAACAUCAUACCUCUGACUAUGGCCAUCAAAUUCACAAUUUUUGGGAGUAAAUAAAAAACAUAAUAAAAUUAGGGAUUUGUUUGGCUAGUUUUUCUAAGACCUUAUAUCUUAUGAAAACUCACAAACUUCCUAUAAACUAGAGACUCUUAUCUAUAUAAAGUUUUAAUAUAAAAUAUGAUAUUUUCUUAUAUUUUCUUUCCAUCAAAGGAGACAAAAUAAAUACCAAGUAGUAGUUACCACUAAAAGUGUGUCAUGACUAUAAAAGAUGGUUACAACACUAAGAGAUGUGUUUGUAUUCAAUGUGUCACAUGUUUUAGGGAAAAUAAUGUAUUUAAAUUUAAAUUUAAAUAGAACACAAAACUUAAAACAUUUAUCUUAUUUUAUUUAAAAUAAAAAAUAUUUCCAACAUGUCACACACAUGAGAUCCAUGCUGCCAUAAAUUCAUUUCCAAACUAGUUAUGAACCAUAAAUGACAAGCCCUAACUUCACCUCCACUUGCUAUAACAAGCCCUAACAUGACUUCUACUGCUAAACAUUGAAAAAGGAUGUUGAUGUUGCGUCUAAAGGCAUCUUGCUUUAUUAAAUAUUUAAUUUAUGUACUAUCAUUCUCAUUGACAUUAAAAUUAAUUAUUUCUAAAAAAAAAAAAUCAAAAGAAAAUUUCCCAAACCAUAGAAAAGUAUUUAGCAUUAAACUCGAUAGAGUUACACCACAUAUUUGUAGCUUAGGAUCACAGGGUUCUCAGAAAAACACUUCAAAGUACAUUCUUAGAGUGUAUUUGAUAAUAUUUUUAUUCAAAAUAUUUUUAAUGAAAGUAUAUUCUUUAAAAAUGUUUUAAGAUAAUUGUCUAUCAAAUAUUUCUUCAAAAAACAAUACAAGUGAUUUUUUAACACUAUAAAUAAUUUUUCACAUUUGUAAAAGCGUUUCUCAAAUUUUAUCAAAUACUUAAUAUAAAAUUAAAUGCUUCUUAAAAUCAUUUUCUCACUCUUAUUCAUGACACAAACUAAAAAUAUCAUUGUGGUUUUGUGCAUUGCAGACUAUCAACGAUGUGGUUAUGGGGGCGUCAUUGGCUGGUCUUUCUCAAUAUCUCAACAGAAAGAUAUGGUGAGCUUGCAACUUUAUACCUAAACAACUAGAAUACUUCAUCUAAUGUAAGGUGAGAUUCUUAACAUAUCUCCUUAAUGGCAGGUGAGGCUAAGGGAGAGGCAGUAGCUACACAGAAGAAAAAUAAUCUUCCUGAGAACAUUCGCCUCAGGGCCCUCGAUCUCGUUAAUAUAAGACCUUCCCCAGGGAUUCAUGUGAGCCAUUUUCCUGUUGAAUUCAAAAGAUUUAUAUGAAAAUAUGGUCGUUAAGAUAGUAAAAAUGAUGGUGCAACUAACAUUUUUUGUAUGCAUCAAAUCUGAAUUUUCAAAUUUAUAAAUGAACUUGAGUAAAUUAAUUAUCCAUGUACUGUAAAUUUGAUUGAUUAUAUCGUAUCAUAUCAUCAAAAUGCUAGGCUUUAGCUGAUAUGAUGGAGAAGGGGACCAAAGCAAAAUGGGGUAACUGCAUUGGAUCUGUGCUUUUCCCCUUCACUAUUGUGUUACAAGAUGACCUGUUAGACUAUGUUUGCCAAGCUAAGGCUACCACUGACAGAAAGAAGCAGUCUCAAGAAGUUGCAUACACAUUUCUCAUUGUUAAGUUAGUCCUCAAGUUAUUUGGAAUUAAGGUGCGUAUGAACUUCUUUGCAAUUUUUUGGAACCAAAUACACAAAAAAUUGGACACAUAUAUAUAUGCUAGCAAUUCCCCCUUGGUUGUUUAAUUUCAGUGUUUCUAGUCUAAAUUAAUCAUUCUACUUCAGAAAUCAUUUGGUAAAACAGGCUGCAGCAUUUCUACUCCACAGAGUUCCAAAUCACACCACAUUGUGCUUCUCAAACAUAGUUGGACCUAUAGAAGAAAUCGGUUUUUAUGGUCAGGCUUUCAUUGCUCCAAGUUGCUGUGGGCAAGCAACCCCAUGUAAGUAUAUAUACACAUCUCAUUAAGCCAAAAUAUGCCUUUUGUUUAAUUUCAUUUGGCUAUGAAAACAUUAUAAUUUAUAACAUAGAGUUGAGUUUGGUUAGUCUUAAUAAGCAUAAUAAUUGUGUUUUGGUGUCGGGAUUGAUCGUUCACUUUCUAAGUUACACAAAUAAAAUGACAUUUAUUCUAUCGGUUGAUGAAGCGAUCAUUCCUGACCCUCACCAGCUAUGUGAUGAUAUUGAAGAAACACUCAAGCUCAUGAAGGAUGUUGUUAUAGCAAGAGGGAUUGUUAAGGAAAAUCUCAUUAAAUAAAGAGUGAUUACACACAAAAAAGACUGAUCACCAUAUUACAUUAUGCUUGAAUUAUGUUAAUUGGGAAAAUGUUGUGUACUCAUCUUUGCUUUCAUGUAUACUAAUAAUGUUGAUUGCUACCAAAUAGGGACUAUAAACCUUUGGUUAGUGUAUCUUAUAAAUUUGUUUCUCAAUUGGAUAAGUUGGAAUUUGGAUUAAAUUCGUUAUCGAGCAUCAUCCUAAUUAGCUAGGUUGAUUAGGAUGUGCUUGCAUUUUGUGGUUUUUUGUGGUUGGUUGAUGAUAAUUUGCAUUGUUUUAAAAACAUGACGAGUUGGACCGCCAGCCGGAGGGCUUUCCUAUCCAGUUCCCCUUUUUGGACCAUCUAUCAAUUGGAUUGGUCUUGAACCGAUUAAACCAGCGGUUGGAUCAAUGACCCGGAUGGUUCUUUAAGAACCGAAUGGGUCAAACCCCACCACCUCUUUUUCUUUUUGCCAAGCCCACAUUUCCUUUGGCCUAGUGUCCACUCCUAUGAUGAGUUUUCUUGGCAAAAUGGCCUAUUAAAUUAGGCAAUGAGCUCUAUAGCCUGACCCAACAAUCUACUAAUUUGCAAGGAAUGGAAAGAGGUUUAUAAAUCUAUUUAUGUUUCAUCUACUUUCAAUAUGGAAUCAAGAAAUUUAAGGAAAAACUCAACUCUUUUUAUUGCAACCAGGAGAGCUUGAACCAUAGACCUUGACGUUUCCUAAUACAAUAUUAUUCACUCUACUACAACCAUCCUUAUGUUGAAAUUUAACAAGGAACAAAUAUAUAGGUUAUUUUUAAAAAAUGAUAUAUAUAUAUAAUUACAUAAUACAUUUUUUUUUUCAUUUUCAAUAUGUUUAAUAUCUAAAUAUGAUUUUUACCAUUUUCUUUUCAUAUUGAAAUAUUGUAUAUAUUUUGUUUAAUAAAUUAAAAAUGUUAAUACAUUUAUAUAAAAAUGAAUAAAUAAUAUUACAAAUAUUAUUAAUUUUUAAUUAUAUGUAGUUAAAAUUAUUUUUAAUUUUAAUAAAAUAUAAAUUAUAUAUUUAUGACGUCACCGAUUCGACCGUGGUUCAACCACCGAUCCGACCAGUGAACCGUGAACCAAUAACUUUUCCGGUUCAAUGUUUUGUCCGGUUCUGAAAACAUUUAUAAUUUGUCUCGACUAGCGAUAGGCUGGACUUUUUAUUCAAAUCAACAUUACAUGACUUAACUUUACAUCGACCUCGGAUUAGGAUUGUUUCCUAUAAUCAUCAAUAAAGGAGUAAAACGUUGAAGAAAUAUCAAAGAGUUGAAAAUAUAGUUGAUAAAAUUACCCAUACUAAUUUUGCAUAUGAAUACUAUUCAUUUUUUAAAAGAAAUAUUUAAUGAUAAAAAUUUUCAAAAAAUUAAAAGAAAAAUAUAAUUUUCAAAUAUUGAAAAUCUUUAAAAAAAAAUAUUGUAAUGGUGAUGUGAAUUGAAAUAUAAGGAAAGUUGAAAUUUGAAAUACAGGUUAUACAUGUGACUGAUUGGAAGAAAAGAAAAACUUAAGAGUACGUUAGAUAACUAUUUUCAAGAACAAUUUUUGAUUUUUUAGAAGAAAAAUUAAGGAAACAUGCUUAUUAAUCAGAAACUGUUUUUAUUUUUAAAAAUCAUUUUUUAGUUGUUUCCUAUUAUUUUUACUUUUUUGUCAAGACCGUUUUAAAAAAUAAUUAUGUAAGCAUAUAGAAUGAUUAAAAAUAAAGUAGUAGAUAUAAAAUUAUUUUUAAAAAAUAUUUAAAAAUAGGUUAAAAACAUUUUAAGUUUUCAAAUUGACUUUUAUUUAAUUUAUAAAACAGUAGAGAACAAUUUUUAAAAACUGUUCUUAAAAAAAAAAAUUCAAAACUGUUUUCGAAAACAGUUACCAAACAAAACCUAAAAUUUUGAGUUAGAAUUUUUAUUUUUUUUUUAUACUUGAAUAAAUACUUUCCCCAAAUCAUUUACAAUUUUUGAACUCAAAUUUAAGUCUUAAGAUAGAUAGGAAGAUAUAUUAAAACUAAUGAUUUUUUCAUUACAUGUGGAGAGUAUGUCUAGGUUGAAUAUUAUUCAUCAGCUCAUGAAAUUUCAAUUUUAAAUUAAACUCUCGUCAUUAUUAUGGUUUGGAAAAAUAUUUGAGGUGGUUUCUACCAUCUUAAAGCGUCAAUAAGACGAAAUUUUGAGUAUGUUAUUUAAGCUUCUUCUAAAAUUAGAAAAUCGAGGAGAGAAGGAAGGUGGAAAAUAAAACAGAGAAAAAAAAUACAAAAAUGAAAAAAAGAUUUGAACUUGAUAUGUAUACAUAUAUUUUCUAUAUAGCUUUUUAAAUAAUCUCCUAAUAUAAAAAUUGAAAAUACACAUGAAUUUUUGAAUUAUUUUUUAUAUUUUUUAUUAUUGUUGUAGUAUGUGGCUCAUAUUUAUUGAAAAAAACAUAUGAAGAAAAAUGGGCAAAUGUCAGAGCGAAGCGGAGUGAAAGUCUUCUUCCCUGUUCCCGUGGACGUAGGCAAUUUGUCGAACCACGUUAAAUCUGUGUCUUUCUUCAUUUUCAUUUUCUUUAAUUUUCACCAUAAAUCAUUGCACGUAAAUCAACAAUUGGUAUCAGAGUGUGAGGUUCGAUGUCUGAGAUUUCUUAUGUGAAGUUCGAUGGAUAUGGGAAUUUCGGUCUAUGGCAGAGAAGGGUUAAGGAUCUGUUAGUGCAACAAGGUAUGGUGAAGGCGUUAUACAAAAAGCAACCAAAAAGAAUGAACAACAUGGAUUGGAAGGAUUUGGAAGUGAAGGUUGCGGCAAUUAUCAGGCUUUGUUUGGCUGAUGACAUGAUGUACCAUGUCAUGGAUGAGGAAUCACUAGCAGCAAUUUGGUUGAAAUUGGAAAGUCGGUAUAUGUCUAAGUUGUUGACGAAAAAAGUUGUAUCUUAAGCAGAAACUAUAUGAUCUUAAGAUGGCAGAAGGCUCAUAUCUAAGCCCGACAUAUCAACGUGUUCAAUCAGAUCAUCAGUGAUUUGAAGCGAAUUGAUAUGAAGUUCGAAGACGAAGACAAGGCGUUGAUGUUACUAAAUUAUCUUCCCGCUUCUUCUAUGUAUGAAAAUCUGGUUACAACUCUGAUGUGGAGGAAAGAAACUCUUGAUUUGGAGGAGAUCACGAGUAUUCUUUUAGGAUUCAAUUAAAGGAAGAAAACCAAUGAUGAGAGUUCUCAAGGUGAAAGGCUUGUGGCAAAGAGUAAUUCGAAACAUGGGAGAAACAAGUCCUAGAGCUAAUUGAGUAACAAUAAAUCUUGAUCUAAAUCUAGGAAGAGAAAUGACAUGCAAUGUUAUAAGUGCAGAAAAAUGGGGCACAUGAAACGAGAUUGUCUAGAGAAAAAUAAAGGGAGCUCGAUAUCGGAAAAUAAAGAGGGUUCAUCAAAGUCUACGAAUGUAGUGGCAUAAGAAGACUCAGAGAGUGGUGAUAGUGAUAUGCUAUUGGUUUCAUCCAAUUUAGAUCAUCUUACAGAUUAUUGGAUCUUGGAUUCAGCAUGCUCAUAUCAUAUGACACCCAAUAAAGAUUGGUUUAACACUUACAGGUCAGUAAAUUCUGGUUCUGUUCUGAUGGGUAAUGACGCUUCAUGUAAAGUUGCUGGAAUAGGGAAUAUCAUAAUUAAAAUGUUUGAUGGUGUUGUUAGAACAUUGUGUGAUGUUAGACAUGUAUCUGAUUUAAGUAAGAAUCUUAUUUCCUUAGGGACUUUAGACUGUAACGGGUUUAGUUACAAGUCUACAAAUGGAGUAAUGAAGGUGAGUAAAGGUGCUAUGAGAGUGAUGAAAAGGUAAAAACUAGCAAGAAAUAUUUAUAAACUAUUAGGUACCACAAUUGUAGGUGAAAUUGCAACCACAAAGUUUGAGUCAAACAGUACGGUCUUGUGGCAUAUGCGGUUAGGGCAUAUGGGUGAGCGUGGGAUGAUGGAGCUUCAUAAGAGAAAUCUGUUGAAGGGUAUCAAAAUAUGUAAACUUGAUUUCUACAAGUAUUGUGUUUUUGGGAAACAGAAGAAAGUGUAGUUCAAGACAGCCACACACAAGACAGAGGAGUUUAUUGAUUAAGUUCAUACAGACGUUUGGGGACUAGUAAGGGUAGCAUCAUUGGGAGGAAAUAGGUAUUUUAUGAGUUUUAUUGAAGAUUACUCACGAAAGGUUUGGGUGUACUUCAUGCGGCACAAGUCGAAAACAUUUGCCAAGUUUAAGUUGUGGAAAGCUAAAGUAGAAAACCAGACAGGGAGAAAUAUAAAAUGCCUCAGGUCAGAUAAUGGUACUAAAAAUAUAGAUUGAAAGUUCACGGAAUUGUGUGAGCAACAUGGGAUUAAGAGACAUUUCACAGUACGUAAGACACCACAACAGAAUGGUGUAACAGAAAGGAUGAAUAGAACAAUAGCUAAAAGAGCUCGAUGUCUCAAAUUGAAUGUAGGCCUUGAAAAGAAAUUUUGGGCAGAAGCAGUGAACAUGGCAUGUUACUUGAUCAACAGGUCACCCAGAGCAGCAUUAGAUGGGAAAGAAGCAAAGGAGUUAUGAACAGGCAAUCCGAUAGAUUACUCUAGUUUGAGAGUAUUUGGGAACCCAGCCUAUGUGCACAUUCCUAAUGAGGAGAUAUCAAAGCUUCAUGUGAAGUCUAGACAAUGUAUUUUUCUAGGGUAUUAGAAAGGGGUGAAAGGUUUCAAGCUCUAGGAUCCAAAGGCAAACAAGGUGGUGAUCAGUAGAGAUGUGAUUUUUGAUGAGAAAGGCAUGUUAUAGUGUACUCAGAAAUGAGAGAAACAGGAACCAAAAAAUUGUAGCAAUAAUGAGCAGUUGAUACAUGUGGGAUUAGAGACCCAUGAUAUAGAGGAUCAUGCUCGAAAUACGGGGAAGUCUAGUUCAAAAUAUCAGUAGCAUCACAGUAUAGUCAUAGACAAACACAAACGCACUAUUAGGCCACUUACCAGGUAUGGUUUUGAAGAUUUGGUUUCUUAUGCAUUGAUUACUAGUAGCAGGGAUCCUACUACUUUUCAAGAGGCAAUACACAACCAAGAGAAAAGUAGAUGGAUGGGUGCUAUGGUGGAAGAGAUUCAGUCUUUGCAUAAAAACUAGACAUGGGAUUUGGUGGAGCUUCCCAAGGGAAAGAAAGCAAUAAGAUGUAAACAGGUGUACAAGAAGAAAAAAGCGAUUUCAGAAAAAAAAAAAAAUGGUGAAAAUUUCAAAGCUUGUUUAGUAGCAAAAGGUUACUCACAUAGGAAAGGGGUUGACUAUGAUGAGAUCUUCUCUCCCAUGGUCAAACACACUUCCAUCAGGACAGUGUUGGGUUUAGUAGCCCAUUUUGACAUGCAAUUGGAGCAAAUGGAUGUAAAGAUAGCUUUUCUUCAUGGUGAUUUGGAGGAGUUGGUCUAUAUGGUACAACCAAUAGGGUUUAUUCAACCUGAACAAGAACAGUACUUGGUCUGUAAAUUGAGUAAAUCACUUCAUGGGUUGAAGCAGUCCCGUGCUACAAACGAUUUGACUCCUACAUGAUUAGGAUUGGCUACAAGAGAUGUAAUCGGAGCGCAAUCAUAACUCAUGAGCCAAAAUUUUCCUUUUGUAAUUCAAACGUAACCGGAGCGCAAUUAUUUUCUUUCGUUCCUCACCAGGUACAACGUUUCUGAAAGAGUAUUGAUAUUGAUAUAUCAUGCGAAUCAAAAUCGUCUCAUGGUGUGAAGGCAUGCAGCUGGGCGGCAGACAAUUAAUUAAAUGCAGGUCUAGAAUGAUCUCAACAUUCAACCGACUGAGAAUGAUUGAAGCAUAUUGACUUUGAAUUUGUAAUUGGUGCAGAAACAGUCUGCAUGGCUACCAGCCUGCCACAUGCUCUGUGUGGUUACCCUCCACGCCAUGUGUUUAUCUGUCGAACUUUGUUAAUUGGAUUCAAACCUAUUCCCUCGUCAUCAAAUCAAUCUUUUUGUACGAAAAUAGACUAUUAUUAUACUCGAUGCGCGUGCCAAUAAAAUUUUGACGGGUGACAAUCAAAAGUUAUUUCUAGAUGACGAGGCCUCCAUGGAAGAAGCUCUAACCUUGAAGGGUGAAAACAGUGGUUAUCAAGGGUGAAAGGGCUACCUACCUACAUAAUUAACAAAUGGCUUCUUUUGGUUUUUGGGAGGAAUGAUUUGAUUUUCUUAAUAUUAUCAUUAAGCCUUUUAGGGAUUAUAAGGAUUGACCAGGAUGAUGAUUAAUCAAAAGUUAAGGCAAAUUUUGAAUCUAAGCAUACCAGCUAUUUAUUUUAUUUUGUUUAUAUCAUAGGUAAUCUCACGAACCUAGGUAUAUUCCUUAAACCAAGUGUACGUCUUGUUUGUCUGUGUGUCUUUUUCUGAUUCUACUAUUCUGUUUGUCAAAUUAGAAGAACCUUCAUACAUCAAAACCUACAUCAUUUACGCAUGGCUGAUAGUAAAAAAGAUGAUGUAUCAAGCUAUUUGUAAAAGCUAACUUGAACAAUUUUCCCAAAGAUCCCGGAUGAGAGAACCUUCGAUCGGGAGGAUAAAUGACUCCAAGUAGCAUUCAUGUAUGAUUUAUAUUUGAUCCCAUUGAUGAUACCUAUCAUUCUUCAUCGGCUAUCUUUGUUACUCUUCUCCUUUACUUUGAAAAAAUAGAGUUGCUUACUCAAGUACAAGAUGUCUAUUAGACAAAUAAAUGACCCACCUGCAAAAGUGAAGCUCUAUCAAAUGAACUAUAUCACCUUGAGCCAAAUGAAGCAUGCAUAAAUGAAUCAGAUGAUUAAUAUACAACACAGAAAUAUCACUUGUAGAAACCUUGGUGAAAUUAGUUGAAAUAAUACCAGCCACCCUCCAAUUAAUUUAUAUAGCCUUUUGGACUUCUAUGCCUUUCACACAUCAUUUUAAGGUCAAAUAUUUCAACAUCUGAACUACAUCUCAGACCAUUAAAAAUCUUAUCAAAAUUGAUGUAAAGUCCCACAUGAAAGACGACCAGCGACAACCUCCCUAGCUAUCAAUUCAUUUAAGUAUGUUAUGGACUACAAUACUUGACAUUCCAAUAUAAUUUCAGCCUCAUCUACAUGCUGAGCUGAGUAUCAUGGAGCCUGUAGGUGAUCUGGAUUCAAGACAGCAGGCUCUCAAGCCUAUUCAAACAAAGAGAUCAGCAGGAAGAGAAGUAGAAGGAGAUGGCGAAAAACCCGAGGAUAUCGAAGAAGAAGAAGAAGAACCUCUGAGUCCAGCUGCUCGAAUAUUUCAUGAACCUUGCUUCAAUGUCUAAGUCAUAGCCAUUGCUGGGUGCAAAACCAGAAUCAAUGUUGAUCUUUUUCCAGUAAAGAAGACCUCGAAUCCUGAUCCGGUAAACUCUGGCAGGAUUUGGUGGACAAUUCUAAAUUUUAAAUAGUUUGAUAACAUUCUAAAUUUUCAAAAAAAAACCUUUUAUUCCAAAAAACAAAAACUAAUUUAGAAAACCAUUCCCAAAAAAUAACUUUUUUAGAAUGGGUAUCUAAAAUAUUCCUAACGUUCCACGUAGCAACUAUGUGACAUAAAGUACCAUAAAUUUAGAAAUAUUUUAAGGUACCAUAUUUUAAAAAAAUAUUUUUAAAAAAUAUUUUAAAAAUUUUAUAUAUUUGUUUAUAUUAUAAGAUCCUUGUAUUUAUAUCUCAAAUUACUCAAAAAUAUCCUUGAAUGGUUUCUAUUGAUUUAAAAAGUAGUAGAACAAUUUAUUUCUUCUGACAGUGUCGGUCGCUUUGGGCAUUUUUUACAAUUAAAACAUGGCAUGAAAGUUUGGUACGGUGGUUGAAAUUAUCAUAAAUUUGAAAGGGAUGCCCAAGUUCCGUCCAAAUCUCAAAAACGAUAGUUGGUUCAAUUACUCUCCAUGUGCAAGCCAAAUUCUUUCCUGGCAAAACCCUCAAAUCCAUUUCUUGGAACUAAAAUUUGUACCGUCUCUAUCAUUAAUCCUAAAUUCAAUUUGAAAUUCCAAACUUCAAUAUUAUGAGUUCGAAAUUAAUUUCCAAUGUGGUCUUAUAACUCAUAUGCCACUGGAUUCUAGAUAGGAGCAGAACCAACAAUGGUGGAGACACGCCAUCUUUCCAUUUCCAUUGAUGACUUGAAGGGGGGCCUACCUACCUACAUACCUAUUAAUAAGUGGCUUCGGUUUAUUUAGAUAAUGAACAUAUACCCAAAAAAAGACUUUAUUAAGAGAAGUAUAUAAAAAAGAUAGAACAUUAAACUAUUCGUAAAGACCGAUUUGAUCGACUUUUCUUGAGAUCCUAAAUGAGGAAACCUUAGGAAGGGUAAAAGACUCCAAGUAACAGUCACGUACGAUAUCAGCUUUUCCCCUUUCCUUUGACAGAUAAGAGUUACCUACUCAAUUGCAGGAUGUUUAUUAGACAAAUAAAUGCCCCAGCUACAAAAGUGAAGCUCUAUCAUGUGAGCUAUAUCACCUUGAGCCAAAUGAAGCAUGCAUAAAAAAGAAUUAGAUGCUUCUUUAUAUAUGUUUGUAUAUGUAUAACACAUGAUAAGAUCAUUCAUGCAGCCUGUUGAUUUUCUUACAACAAUUCUUAGUGAAAAAAUUAGAAAAAAACAAAAGAAAACACACAAAUUUAAUGUGAUUUGACAAAUUGUCUAUAUCCACGAGAAUAAAAAGGAAGACUUUUAUUACAUCUAAAAUUAAGAUUAUAUAAAAAGGUAUUUAUAUUAACCAUCAAAUAUUAAAAUUCUAAAAAUACCCUUAAAUCGUACCAUGAAGGGGCGUUGCCUCUCGCACCCCCAACAUAUCGUUCACCCUCAAUAAUAAAAAUAUGAAUUUGAAUGAAAAAUGUCAUCAUUCCACUAUGUUCUACUUCAAUAUUUAACCAUUUUUCUCCAUAUAUAUAUAUAAAAGCCACAUAAUACAACACAGCCUUUUUAAAUGUGUUUCACACAUCAGUUGAAGGUCAAACAUUUCAAUAUCUCAACUAUAUGAUGCGCAAUUAAAAAUCUUAUCAAAAUUGAUGUAAAUCAUGUUACUGGUGUCCCACAUGAAAGACUUAUGUGUCCUAGCGCUCCAACUAGCAACAACCUUCCUGUCAUUUCAUUUAAGUACGUUGGACUACUGCUAUAUAUGUGUUUGCACAAUACUUGACAUUCCGAUAUAGUUUCAGUCUCAUCCAAAAGCUGAGCUGCGUGUCAUGGAGCCAGUAGGUGAUCUGGAUUCAAGACAGCAAGCUCUCAAGCCCAUUCAAACAAAGAGAUUAGCAGCAAGAGAAGUUGAAGGAGAUGGCAAAAAACCCGAGGAUAUCAAAGAAGAAGAAGAAGGAGAAGCUUUGAGUCCAGUUGGUCGAAUUUUUCAUGAAACUUGCUUCAAUGUCUAUGUCAUAGCCAUUGCUGGGUUCAAAAUCAGAAUCAAUGUGGAUGUUGUUAAAGCCAAUUUGGAGCACACUCUGCUUAAGCACCCUCGUUUCUCUAGCUUGCAGGUAUGAAAAAAGCUUUUUGGUACAUUAAUUAAUAUCUUAGCAUGAUAUAUAUCUAAACCAAGCUUCUUUUACGUAAGGCUUUAUUUGAAUGCCUGUCCUAUUUUUUUGUUUUUAAAAGAUAAAAACUCAUCUCCUCUUGGCUUAUCAAUUUAUUUUUUUAUAUUAUCUCGAUUAGGUGAAGGACGUGAAAAAGGAUGGAGGGAUGAAAUGGGUUCCAACAAAGGUGGACUUGGACAAGCACAUUAUAAUACCAAGCCUCCACCACACCAUUUCUUCACCAGACAAGAUGGUGGAAGACUACAUCUCCAAUCUCAGUAAAACCUACAUAGACUACUCUAAGCCUCUUUGGGAGCUCCAUAUUCUCAACAUUAAGACCUCGGAUGCCGAGUCUGUCGCCGUUUUCCGAAUCCACCAUUCCCUGGGUGACGGCAUGUCCCUCAUGUCUCUUGUCCUCUCUUGCUCCCGUCAAAUCUCCAACCCGAAAGCUCUCCCAACUUUGCCAGCGAAAAAGACUUCGAAUCCUGAUCCGGUAAACUCCGGCAGGAUUUGGUGGACAAUUCGACUGGUUUGGAAUACUAUUAUAGAUGUUUUGAUGUUUCUUGCCACAACUCUCUUCUUAAAGGAUACCAUGACACCACUCAGCAAUGGUUGGAAAAAGGGAGGUGGGCAUGUGCCAAGGAGGUUUGUUUACCGAACCGUUAGUCUUGAUGAUAUUAAACUAAUCAAGAAUGGGAUGAAAACAGUAAGUUGAUUCCAAAAACUGGCUCCACCCUUUAAGUUUCCUUGUAUACUUGUGCUUUAAAUAGAAACAUAAUACAACAUUUUCAUUUUUAAAAAUAAGACAAAUUUCAAUUAAAAUAAUAAUAAUGAUUAUUUUAAAAAAUAAUUUAAAAUAAAUAUAAAUUGAUUACCUAAUUUAUGUUUUUUAUCAAAUUUAUUAUUACUUUUUUUUAUAUUUUUAUUUAAAAAUAAAAUAGCCUACACGUGAAAUAUAUAACAAUGUAAACUUAUGGGUUUACAUUAUUUAGACUUAAUAAAUCAUAUUGUUUUGGGGCAUUGCAGACUAUUAACGAUGUUGUAAUGGGAGUGUCAUUGGCUGGUCUUUCUCGAUAUCUCAAUAGAAGAUAUGGUAAGCUUUCAUUAAUUCUCAGUUCAAUUUCUCUACCUACCCAACCAUUGUAUCCAAGCUUACAAGUCACAUUGAAGCUAUGUAUAUAAUAUAAUCAAUUGGGAAAUUUGGAAGAGAGCUAGAUAAAAUAAUCUUUAAACUAUAUGAGUAGAAACUCUUUAACAUGUGUUCCAUUUAUUAAUUGCAGGUGAGACCAAGGAAGAUAAAGGAGCCACCCAAAAGAAAAAUAAUCUUCCGAAGAAUAUUCGCCUGAGGGCAACUCUUAUGAUGAAUAUAAGACCAUCACCAGGGCUUCAUGUGAGUGAUUUUCAUAUUCAAUUUGAAAGAAUAUUUGUAGGAAAAUGUGGCUGCUGUGUGGCCAACUUUAAGAUGUGGCCAACUUUAAGAUAUAAUAGGGAUUUUGUUUUCAACAGCUUUUAACCUCUGUUUUCAAAGUGUAUAGAACAACAACGGUUAAGGUCAUGUUUGGAUGCAUUUCUUACUUUUUAUUUUUAAACAUAAAAAAUAGUAUAUAAAACAUAGGAAUUAUUAACGAAAAAAAAUAGAAAAAAAAAUGAAGGAAAAUAAAAUUUAGAUUCAAAAUCAAUAAUUUAUUUUUAUAUGUUUUUUCAAACUCAUUCUACUUAGUUCUUCUAUCAUAUAAAGAUCAAAUAAUUUUUAAAUGUAUACAUUUUUAACUAAUUUUAAUUAUAUUUAAUUUUCUUUAAAAAAAAUUUAUGGUGAAGUCAAAUAUGAGAAAACUAUUUUUUUUAGCAUUUUUUUUAUUUUUUUAUUACUUCCCGAAAACCAAACAACCAAUAUAUUACUUUGAAAAGUGUAUAAGAGUAUGAAGUUAUGUUUUAAUAGUAACUUUAAUGUUUAAAAAGUUCUCUCAAUAAGAGGAUUAUAAUAUACAUUAAACUCGAUACUCUGAUUAUUAGUGGAUAUAACUAUCAAAAUGCUUUCAAAACACAUUUUCCAUUUAAAUUAAAAUAUUAAUUAAUUUUCUAUAGAAAUAUCUUCAAUAAAUUGUUAGUGAAAAAAAAAUGUUUUAACAACAAUCACCUUAAAAUCCUUCAUGUGCUACAAAACAAAUUGAUUGGUUUAUUCAUCAUGAAAUUUCAUGGUAAUUAGGCUUUAGCGGAGAUGAUGGAGAAGGGGUCUAAAGCGAAAUGGGGAAAUUGGAUUGGAUCUAUGCUCCUCCCUUUUGCCAUUGCCUUAUAUGAUGACCCUUUAGACUAUGUUCGUCAAACUAAAGCCACAAUCGAUCGAAAGAAGCAUUCUCAUGAAGCUAUAUUUACAUGUUUCAUUAUUAAGACAGUUCUCAAAUUAUUUGGUGCUAAGGUAUGAAUUUCCUUAUCCUUAAUAUUGAAAUAGAUCACCUAGGAAAUUAUACAUUUUCAAGCUCCUCUUCUUCCAAAAAAAAUAAUAAUAAUAAAAUCUAACUUCUAUUUUUUGUUUUCUUUCCUUUCUACUUUCUUCUUGUGAUCUUACCUUGGAGAUCUUUUUUUUGGCAUGGCAAAUAGGUUGCAGCAUUUUUAUACCAUAGAGUUAUGAAUCACACGACAAUGUGCUUCUCAAAUGUGGUUGGACCUAUGGAAGAAAUCGGUUUUUAUGGCCAUCCAAUGGCUUUCCUUGCUCCAAGCGUUUACGGCCAACCACAAGUAAGUCUAUAUAUAUAUAUAUGUGUGUGUGUGUGUGUGUGUGUGGUUAUUUGAUUAAAUGGGUCAUUGAAAACUCAAAUAUGAAAAAAUGACCUUUGUGGUUUGAAAGCAUGAACCAUAAUCGAGAAAUUAUAUUUGUAUUCAUCAAUUUUUUAAUUACAUUUAUCAUAUUUAUACAUUCACUUUAAAAUACUAACCGUAUUAAUACAUCACCUACAAAUUUCCAAUAUUAUAAAAACACCCUUCCUAUUCUUCUCUUUUUUACACAUUCACUUUAAAAUACUAACCGUAUUAAUACAUUACCUACAAAUUUCCAAUAUCAUAAAAACACCGUUCCCAUUCUUCUCUUCUAUACCUAUCUUUUUUUUCUUUUUUUUUCUAUUAACUUUUUUUCUUCUCAAUAAUAAAUCCUAAGAGAAACUAUCUUUUAGGGCUUAUUCUUCAUGUAAAUUUUGAUUAAAAAAACAUUUUGUAAAAAUAGUUGAAAAACAAAUAGAAUUUUUUUUAUAAAUAAUUAGAAGUGAGAAAUCAUGAAAAAGUUCAAAAGAAAUAAUAUUAUGACUGACUUUUUAUUAUGUGUUUUGUUGUAGGGAUUGAUGAUUCAUUUCCAAAGUUACAUCAAUAAAAUGACAUUUAUUCUUUCAGUUGAUGAAGAAAUAAUUCCUGAUCCUAAUCGAUUAUGUGAUGAUCUUGAAGAGUCACUCAAGUUUAUCAAGGAUGUUGUUAUUGCAAGAGGUCUUGUCUAGAAAAAUUCCAUAAAAUAAGAAUGAUUAUUACAUGUUACAUCCAUAUAUGAACUAUGAAGAUUUGUGCUUUUAUGGUCAUUUGUGGUUUUAAUCGAGUGUGUUUUAUAAAUCUAAAGUGAAAUGUUUUAUUUUCGAAUAAAUUUUGAGCUUUAUAAUGUUAUAUAUAUGUCACAUGCACGUAUGCUUGGAAAUUUUUAUAUGAGAAUAAGACAUGUGGGUCAUGCCUUGUUUUGGGAAUGGGCCUAACUUGGGCCAGCCUUGGGCUUGAGCCUAAUUAGGUCUUAAGUUGGGCUAAUUAGUACGAUGAAGUCAAAAACUAGCAAAAUUUUGGGCUCCAUGAUAUCUCAAAAUUUAAAAUUGAUUAAAGCCAUUAAUAUCGGGCCACAUCAACGGCUAAAGUUGCAAGGCGACAACCGCCAUCACUUGGCAACUCCCAAGCCCUGUUGCUCUAAUGGCUAGAGAUAUUAAUCCGCCUGAACCCUAGAAAAAACUCAUAGAUAUAUAUAUAGAGAGAAAAUAUAUUAUACUUAAAAACAAAUUUAAAAUAAUGAUUUAUAUACUCAAAAACAGUUUAAUAUAAUGAUUUAUUUAGUUAAAUAUAUUUAAGGAUAUAAAAAAAUCAUGACACAGAUAUGAUUACUUUUUAAUUAUUUAAAAAUAUUUAAAAUAUUAUUUUCCAGUUUAUACUUUUCUUAUAUUUAAUAUUAAAAAUUUUAAUUUAAUUACAAAAUAGAUGAUGUAGUUUGAUAAAUUUAAAAAAAUAAUUAAAAUUUAUUUUUUUAUUAAGUUUAAUAUUUUAGAUUAUAAUAAAUCGAUUUUAUGUGCUUUUAUAAAUAUCAAUCAAGUUUAGCUUGGUAGUGAAGUGGCGUGAUAAAAGUUGUUUUCUCUUUAUUAAAUCCAACCUUUUUCUUUAAUAAUUUUAAAAACUUCAAUGUGUUGUAAAAUAAGGACAAAUAUAAUGCAAAUCAAAGUAGUAGAGAUAAAAUAUGUCUUACAUUGAUAUAUAAUAUGAAAGAAGGAAUCAAAGAAGAGAAUUGAGAAAGUGAAAGAAAGAGAGAGAGAGAAUGAGAAGAAGAACUUUUCUUUUUUUUCUUGGGAUGUCUAUUACAGGAAACGGGAAGCCCUUUUAUAGGUUUUUUAAAUGGCUUCCAUUAAUAUCCUCAUUAAUGAAUAUUAAUGAAACUCAUAAAUAACAUUAAUGGUUUCCAUUAAUGAGUAUUAAUGGAAGUCAUAAAUAAUACUUAAUUAACAUUAAUGUGGUGACAUUCAUUACUACAAUUAUAACACUUCCUCUUGGAUGUUCACCACAUUGAAAGAAUAUGCCUCAUUAAAACCUUGCUAGUAAAAAACCCUAUAGGAAAAACCUAGCGAAGGAAAAAGAGUACAAUAUUCUUUUCUUGGUAUAUUAGGAUUGCCUCAUUAAAAACCUUGUUAGUAAAACCCAGUAGGACAAAACCUGGACGAAGGAAAAAAUAGUACAGUACACUAACACCCUUUUACAAGCAUACUCCCCCUCAUGUCGAUAUCCUUGAGUUGACGCAUUCCAAUUCUGUAUAUUAACUUCUUGAAUGUUGAGGUUGGCAAUGAUUUUGUGAAUAAAUCUGUUAGAUUAUUACUUGAGCGUAUUUGUUGCACAUCAAUUUCACCACUUUUCUGGAGUUCAUGUGUAUAAAAGAAUUUUGGUGAAAUGUGUUUAGUUCUAUCUCCUUUAAUAUAACCCCCUGUUAUUUGUGCAAUGCAUGCAACAUUAUCUUCAAAUAAUAUUGUCGGGUCACCUUUGAUAGAGGAGAGUCCACAUGAUUCCCGAAUAUGCUGGAUCAUAGAUCUUAGCCAUAUACAUUCACGACUUGUUUCAUGAAUUGCCAGUAUUUCUGAAUAAUUUGAUGAUGUGACCACCAUUGUUUGUUUGACAGAUCUCCAUGAAAUAGCAGUACCAUUGCAAUUAAACACAUACCCUGUUUGUGACCUGCCUUUAUGUGGAUCUGAAAGAUAUCCUGCAUCUGCAUAUCCAAGCAAUUGUUGCUUUGAUUCCCUUGAGUAAAAUAAACUCAUAUCAAUAGUUCCACGAAGAUAACGCAAUAUAUGUUUGAUACCAUUCCAAUGUCUUCGAGUUGGAGCGGAACUGUAUCUUGCCAAUAAAUUAACAGAAAAAGCAAUGUCUGGACGUGUACAAUUGGCAAGAUACAUAAGUGCACCAAUAGCACUAAGAUAUGGUACUUCAGGACCAAGUAACUCUUCAUCUUUUUCGCAAUGACGAAAUGGGUCAUUUUUCACAUCAAGUGAUCGGACAACCAUUAGAGAACUUAAAGGAUGCGCUUUGUCCAUAUAAAAACGCUUCAAAACUUUCUUAAUGUAUGUUGAUUGAUGUACUAAAACUCCAUUUGGAAAAUGCUUGAUCUGUAAGCCAAGACAAAAUUUUGUUUUUCCAAGAUCUUUCAUCUCAAAUUCCUUUUUCAAGUAAUUUGUUGUUCUUGUGAGCUCUUCAGGAGUUCCAACAAGAUUUAAGUCAUCAACAUACAUUGCAAUAAUUGUAAAUCCGGUUUCUGAUUUCUUAAUGAAAAUGCAUGGGCAUAUAGGGUUAUUCACAUACCCUUCUUUUAGCAAGUAUUCGCUAAGGCAAUUGUACCACAUGCGUCCAGAUUGCUUUAAUCCAUACAAGGAUCGUUGUAACUUGAUUGAGUACAUGCUACGAGGCUUUGUGUUAUUUGCUUCAGGCAAUUUAAAUCCUUCAGGGAUUUUCAUGUAUAUAUCAUUAUCCAUGGAUCCGUAUAAAUAUGUUGUAAUAACAUCCAUGAGACGCAUAUCUAGUCCUUCUAAGACUGCCAAACUAAUUAAGAAACGAAAUGUGAUUGCGUCCAUGACGGGAGAAUAUGUUUCCUCGUAGUCAAUACCAGGUCUCUACGAGAAACCUUGUGCUACUAAUCGCGCUUUAUAUCUUAUGAUCUCAUUAUUUUCAUUGUGUUUUCGUACAAAUACCCAUUUGUACCCAACAGGCUUUACAUCUUCAAGUGUUUGGACUACAGGUCUAAAAACUUCUCGUUUUAUUAAUGAGUUUAAUUCUGCCUGUAGAACUUCUUUCCAUAUUAGCCAAUCAUUUCUAUGUCGACAUUCUUCCACAUUUCGUGGUUCGGGAUCUUCAUCAUUUCUUAUGAUAUCAGAGGCCACUUGGAAAGCAAAAAUAUUGUUAAUAACAAUAUUAUUUCGAUCCCAUUUUUCUCCCGUUUGUACAUAACCUACUGAGAUCUCACAAUUUUCAGGUACCUGUGCCUCUUCAGGGGCUUCUUGUUCAAUAUGUGCCUCUUCAGGGGCUUUCUGCAUUAUUUGUGCCUCUUCUAGGGCUAUAGAUUUAUCAAUUUUAAGCUUAUCAGUUAUUUUGAUUGUCUCUUCUAGAGUGCCAAGUUUUUCUUGGGUUCUCCUCUUCCAGGGAGUUACAUCAUUUGAGCCGACAGGUCUACCACGCUUUAGGUGUAUCUUAGAUUCAUUUGUUAACUGUCCUAUAGGGACAUCAAUCCGUGCUGGAAUAUUUACAGCCGGGAUAUGUGACUUUGUCAUUUUCUUUGUAUCAAUGAAUGCAUCUGGUAAUUGAUUUGCAAGAUUUUGCAAAUGAAUGAUCCUUUGAACUUCUAGUUCACAUUGAUUUGUACGAGGAUCAAGAUGAGUCAUAGUAAAUGUCUCCCAACUAAUUCUCGUCGUUCUUCAGGAAUCGACUUUUCUCCCCCUAAUGAUAGGAAAACACUUUCAUUAAAAUGACAAUCCACAAAGCGGGCUGUAAAAACAUCGCCUAUCAAAGGUUCAAGAUAUCUUAUGAUAGAUGAAGAAUCAAAACCUACAUAAACCCCAAGUCUUCGUUAGGGACCCAUUUUAGUGCGUUGUGUAGGUGCAAUUGGUACAUAUACUGCACAACCAAAGAUUCGUAAGUGAGAGAUAUUUGGUUGUUUUCCAAGCACAAGUUGUGAAGGGGAGUAUUCAUGGUAAGUUGUAGGUCGAAUACGGACUAAAGCUGCAGCAUGCAUAAUAGCAUGUCCCCAGGCGGAAGUAGGUAAUUUGGUUUUCAUUAGUAAUGGUCGAGCUAUUAAUUGGAGACGUUUGAUGAAGGAUUCUGCUAAACCAUUUUGGGUAUGAGUAUAAGCAACAGGAUGCUCAAUAUUUAUCCCUACUGACAUGCAAUAGUCAAUGAAUGUUUGAGAAGUAAAUUCGCCAGCAUUAUCAAGACGUAUUGUCUUAAUUGGAUAAUCUGGAAAUUGUGCUCGUAAUCUGAUUAUUUGUGCAAGGAGUCUAGCAAAGGCUACAUUACGUGUAGAAAGGAGACAAACAUAUGACCACCUAGUAGAAGCAUCUAUUAAGAUCAUAAAAUAACAGAAUGGUCCACAUGGUGGAUGGAUAGGCCCACAUAUGUCCCCAUGUAUUCUUUCUAAAAAGAUUGGUGACUCAGAUAUGACUUUAGUAAAAGAUGGUCUGAUUAUCAAUUUACCUUGUGAGCAGGCAGCACAUGAGUAUUCAUUGGGCAAAAGAAUCUUCUGGUUCUUUAGUGGAUGCCCAUGUGAGUGUUCGAUUAUUCGACGCAUCAUUGAAGACCCUGGGUGACCUAGCCUGUCAUGCCAAAGGACAAAAACUUUUGGGUCGUUGAACUUCUGGUUCACGACAACAUAUGAUUCAAUAGGCUUUAUAGUUGUAUGAUACAACCCAGAGGAGAAAGCCGGGAGUUUUUCCAUUAUAAGCUUCUGGCCAGAUAUAAUGGAAGUAAUGUAAAGAUAUUCUACAUUAUCUUCAUUCAUAGUUUCAAUAUGAUAUCCAUUUCUGCGGAUAUCUUUAAAACUGAGCAAAUUUCUUCUGGAUUUGCUAGAAUAUAACGCGUCAUUUAUAUGGAAUCUAGUUCCAUUUGGCAACGUUAUGUUUGCUCUUCCAGAACCUUCAACUAAGUUUGUAGUACCAGAUAUGGUACUUACAUUAGCUUUUAUUAAUGUCAAUUCAAGGAAAUAUCUUUUAUCUCGAAGAAUUGUGUGCGUGGUCGCACAGUCUGCGAGACAUACAUCAUCCUCAUUCAUCUUGAGACCAAAUAACACAUGGACUUCAAAUAUAACAAAAAAAACAAGACAUAAUGUAAAUAACAAAGUAAAUCAGAUGUAAAUAUAAGACAUAAUAAUAUAUUAUUUCAUAUAUAAAGUAACAUCAAUCAAUGUUAAUUUUCUCAUCAUUUAUCAAAUGGUCUGUUUUUUCAUUGAGACCUCCAAAGAAAUCAAUGUCAUAGUAGGUUAGGUUCAAUCCAUCACCAUCGGUAAAGUUCAUCUCUAUCUCUUUUCCUUUAGCUUUUAUUGAUGCUUGGUAAAGGUCGACCAAAUGUUUGGGCGUACGACAGGUACGCGACCAAUGCCCCUUCAUACCACAUCUAUAACAAUUAUUCUCAUGGUUCUUAGGAGGUUUAUCUUGUAAACGCUUCCCAUUUUCUUGUAUUGUCUCAGUAUUGUUCCACUUCUGGUGGUGCAAUGAGGCUUUCAUUUUCUGAGAAUUAUUACUAUAAGAACCAUGGUAUCGAGAAUUUCUUCCUCGUCCACGUCCACGAGUUUGGGACGAUAUUGCAUUCACUUCAAGGAAUGGUUCAGAUCCAGUUGGACGAGACUGGUGAUUUCUCAUCAAAAGCUCAUUAUUUUGUUCAGCAACAAGAAUACAUGAUAUUAAUUCAGAAUAUUUUGUAAAUCUACGCUCUCGAUAUUGCUGUUGCAGGAGCACAUUCGAGGCAUGAAACGUAGUAAAAAUUUUCUCUAACAUGUCUUCCUCUGUGAUUUUUUUUCUCCACACAGCUUUAAUUGAGAGCUGAUUUUGAAAAGUACAGAGUUGUAUUCACUAAUAGUUUUAAAAUCUUGCAACCUUAGGUGCAUCCAAUCAUAUCGAGCUUUUGGGAGAAUCACAGUUUUCUGGUGGUCAUAUCUUUCCUUCAAAUUAUUCCAUAGAGUAAAAGGGUCUUUUAUCGUAAGAUACUCAUUUUUUAAACCUUCAUGGAGGUGAUGGCGAAGGAAAAUCAAUGCUUUUACGCGAUCCUGCAGGGAUGCUUGAUUUCCUUGUUUAAUCGUAGCUCCAAGGUUCAUUGCAUCAAGAUGUAAUUCAGCAUCAAGGAUCCAAGAUAGAUAGUUCUUUCCCGAAAUGUCAAGUGCCACAAAUUCGAGUUUUGUGAUAUUCGACAUUAUCAAAUAACUUCAUAUAUAUGACAAACAAUAUUAUUAAAAUCAGUUAUAAUAACUUGAUAGCAUUGAUAUAACUACGAUUAUAAACAAAAUCAAAUAAUUUGUUUAUAACUUUUAACAAUAUGUAACAAAACAAAUUAACAAUAAUAUAAAUAUGUAAAAUUUUAUUCUAUAUAAAUAACUUCAAGUUUAAGAUACGAGAAUUACCUUCAGAGCAAUUCGUGUUGAUAACGUGUUGUAAAAUAAGGACAAAUAUAAUGCAAAUCAUAGUAGAGAUAAAAUAUAUCUUACUUUGAUAUAUAAUAUGAAAGAAGGAAUCAAAGAAGAGAAUUGAGAAAGUGAAAGAAAGAGAGAGAGAGAGAGAGAGAGAAUGAGAAGAAGAACUUUUCUUUCUUUUCUCGGGAUGUCUAUUACCAGAGACAGGAAGCCCUUUUAUAGGCUUUUUAAAUGGCUUCCAUUAAUAUCCUCAUUAAUGAAUAUUAAUAAAACUCAUAAAUAACAUUAAUGGUUUCCAUUAAUGAGUAUUAAUGGAAGUCAUAAAUAAUACUUAAUUAACAUUAAUGUGGUGACAUUCAUUACUACAAUUAUAACACAAUGUUUAUUUUUUAUUUUGUUUCUCUUGCAUUUAUUGCAGGCCAAACUUGUCACAAAAUACUUUGUCAAGUUCCUUUCUAAUCUCUCUCCCCUCUAGCAAUCUCCAAUGGACCCAGUCAUUCUCUCAAGCCUUCAAAAUCGACACAAGGACUAACAAAAUGUGUGGACAAUAACAUCACGAAUCAUGAAUAAUCAAUUGCAUGCCUUCCUGAUAUUAAAUAUUGAAUGUGAUGUUAGAAAAUUCUUAAAAUUACAAAUAAUAAAAUUGAAAAUUCAACAUCAUACCUUUAGCUAUGGUAAUCAAAUUCACAAUUUAUGGGAGUAAAUAAAAAAUAGAAGAAAAUUAGGGAUUCAUUGGAUAGUUCUUCCAAAACCUUAUGUCCAUGCACCAAUGGAAACUUAAUCAUAAACUUCUUAUUGUGAAUAGAGAUUUUUAUCCCUAUGAAGUUUUAACAUAUAAUAUAAUAUUUCUUGAUAUCUUCUUCCCAUAAAAAAAAAAAGAUAAAAUAAAUACUGAUGGGUAGUUACCAUUAAAAGAUGAGUCACAUGGUAGCUAGAUGUGUCUCACAUUUUAGGGAAAAUAAUGUCUCAAUGGAUUUAAUUUUAAAUGGAUCAUAAAAAUUGAAACAUUUAUUUUAUUUUAUUUAAAAUAAAAAAUGUUUCCAACAUGUCAGGCCGAUGCGCACACACGAGAUCCAUACUGUCACAAAUUCAUUUCCAAACUAGUUAUGAACCAUAACCUAAUUCAUUUCCAAACUAGUUAUGAACUAGAACCUAACUUCACCUGGCCUCCAUUUGCUGUGAUAUGUUGUCUUCAUGGUUAAUGUGUCAUCCCUAUGCUAAACAUUGAAAAAAGAUGUUAGGGGCAACUUACUUUAUCAAAUAUUUGAUUUAUGUACUAUCAUUUUGAUAGACAUUAAAAUUAAUUAUUUCUCAAAAAAAAAAAUUCAAUAGAAAAAAUCUCAAACCAAAGAAAAGUACUUAGCAUUAAACUCGAGAGAGUUGCACCACAUAUAUAUUUGUAGCUUAGGACCACGGGGUUCUCACAUCCAUCAAGUUUUCGUGCUUGAUUUGUGUAUUUGGCCGCCAAACAUACAGAAAUUGUAGCUCAAAAUCUACUGGUUUAAUUAAAGUGGCAGAUUUUAAAUUUUUAUUUAUUUCUUUGUGUAUGGACUUUUAAGGUUCAAAAUCAAGUGGGAAAGAGACAGCCCGCACCCUCAACUUUGCAUUGAGUUGGAUCUACUAAUUAAUUGGUAGCCAAUAAUCUUUUUUUUUCUUUCCUUCUGAUCAUACAUAUCCAUUUAGAAUUGAUAUUCAAGAGGAUGUCAAGACUCAGAUUUGUUUUUCUUUUCAGAUUUUCUUGGCUACCAAUCAUCAUAUCAAGAAUUUUACAUGAAAUAAAAAAUAAAAAAUAUCAAUAAUUUACUUUUUUUUAUCUGUAUUUCUAUCCCUUGAAUUGAAAGUGGAGCUAAGAAGAAAGAAAAUAUCCUAAACAACUAAAGUCCUUGAAAUUAAUCUCAAUUUGAUCUUAAAAAAAUAAAUAAGUGGAAGAAAACCAUAAACCUUAUUUCUGCAAGAUUCAAACCCAUCUAUAAUCCACAUAUUUCACCACUCCUAAUGUCCACACUCUUUAAACCACCUCACUUUUUAUACGAAAUGUUUGUUUAUAAAAGAAAAAACUCUAAAAUAAAAAAUAAAUAAUAAUAAUAAUAAAAAACAUGUUAAAAGGAAGAGAAACAUUUAUGUAGAAGAGUGGUUGUUGAUAUGACAAGUGAAAUGGUCAUUUUAAGGAAUAAUUAUAUGACUAGUGCGUGUAUUUAGAAAAAUUGUGGUCCUUUUCUCUAUAUUUUUUCAAAGUAAGAAUUGAAAACCCACUUUCCCUGUUAUUUAUACUUGUGUUUGUGGGUUGUUUUAAAAAUAAUUAUAAAGGUAAGGAGAAUGAUUGAUUAAAAAUAAAGCAUAAAAAAAAUUAUUUUUAAUAAAUAUUUAGAAACAUAAAAAAACAAGUUAAGAAUAUUCUAAACUCUCAAAUGAAGUUUUGUUCUAACAAUUUUUUAGAACAAGUUUCUAAAACAUUGUCAAAUAUAUCUUUAAUUUUCUAUUGAAAUGCCCAUGUUGCAAUUCAACUUGAUGACAUAAAGUAUAAUAAAUUUAGAAAUAUUUUUAAAGUAUCAUAUUUUAAAAAGAAUUUUUAAGAUAUGCUAUAGUCGUUUAUAUUAUAAUUUAUAUCUCAAAUUACUCAUAUUCAUGAAUGGUUUUUAUAUAGUUAUUUAAAAAGCAGUAUAACUUUAUUUCUUCUAACAAGGUGUAUUGCUAAUAUUGUAAUUAUAUACUUGAACAUAUUACUAUCUAAUAAAAUUUUAAAGGAUAUAACAUAUAAGGACUUGAAAGAAUAUUCUUGAAAAUUUAGCAUGUAUCUAAUUUUCAUGCCUAUCUAACCAAGAAUUUGAAAUGAAAAUGAAAUUCACUUUACAACUUUGAAUCAAAUCAUCCUCAAAUAAGAAAAGUUCCAUCACUAAUCUUUUGUGGAAAAACCUUCAAAUCCUUUCUUCUUUUUCUUCUUUUUAAUAAUUUAUAUGGUCUCUAUCAUUAAUCCUAAAUUCAAUUUGAAAUUCGAUUCUAGAAAUAAAUAGUAUGACUUCUUGUUCUAAACCCAGGUUGAUCCUAUAAAUAGGAGCACAACCAACAAUGGUGGAGGCACGCCAUCUUUCCAUUUCUAUUCGUCUGUUGUUUUUUCAUUCUGAAAGCAGCUAGCACCCUGGAAACCCAAUCAGGUUUGAAGGACGCACUUAAGCCUAUUAGAACUGCGCCCAAAGAAGGUGAUGAAAAGGGAAUGGUAGUUAAGCGUCAUGAUCAGGAAGAUCAUCAGCCAUUGAGUCCAAUGGCUCGUUUGUUUCAUGAACCUGACUGCGAUCUCUAUGUUAUCGGCAUGAUCGGCACGAAAACUCGCAUCGACCCUGAUGUGUUUAAAGCCAACCUGGUGCAUAGUCUCCUUAAACACCCUCGUUUCUCUAGUCUGCAUGUAGAAAUCUUGCAUGCCAGAAGGAAUGAACUUGCCAUUUAGUAAUUUAAAGCUACAUUGAACAUUUUUGAACUAAAAUGCAGCGGUAUUUCAAAAUCAGGUUAUGGAGGAGGAAAAGGGAGGAGAGACGAAAUGGGUUCCAACAAAAGUUGAUUUGGAAAACCACGUUAUAGUUCCAGACAUGUGUUCCGACAUGGAAACAUCAUCAGACAAGUACGUGGAAGACUACAUUUGCAACCUCACUAAAACAACCCUAGACUUUUCCAAGCCAUUAUGGGACCUUCAUCUCCUCAACGUGAAAACCUCCGACGCCGAGGCCGUCGCCGUUUUCAGGAUUCAUCACUCCCUCGGCGAUGGCACGUCUCUCAUGUCUCUUUUACUUGCCUGCACACGCAGAGCCUCAGAUCCCAUGGCUCUGCCUUCUGUUCCCAUGAUGAAGAAAUCAAAAUCAUCGGCUGGGUCUGGAAGGUGGUGGAAGGCUUUCAGACAGUACAGUCCCUGAUCCUCACCAGCUGUUUGAUGACCUUGAAGAGUCUUUCAACCUCAUCAAGAAUGCUGUGAUGGCUAGAGACUAAACUCCACAGAAUGUCAUGUAGCAAGGGCUAGGGUCAAUGUAAUUAAUAUAUAUAAUGUUCUGAAAUAAUUGUCUUAAGGUUCCUGCAAUAAUGAUGUUGUAUUAGAUGGCUCUCUACUAAGUAAAAAUGCCUCUCUACUGUAUUUUUAUCUUAAUUCAAGUUCAUAUUUUUUGGACUUUAUUUCAUUUUUAUUUACUGUAUUUUGAUGACUAAUUAUGGGUUCUUUCUAAUUUCAUCUUUUAAUUUUUUAUUCUCCUUUUUUUUUUUUUUUGAUUCCUCAGAUCUUUUGCAGUAUCUUAAUUUUAAGGCUUAAAUUCUACUUCAUUUCAUUAAUUUCUUCCAUAAUUUUUAAUUUUUAUUAUUAUUAAAUAAUUGUAAUAGCAUUAAUAUGAAGUUCUGGGCUGGCUUACAUAAGAACCCAUCUCCUAGUUUAUAUUGAUCCCUACCAUUUUAUUAAUGGAUAUAACUAUCAAAAUGCUUUCAAAACACAUUUGCCAUUUAAAUUAAAAUAUUAAUUAACUUUCUAUAGAAAUAUCUUCAAUAGAGUGUUAGUGACAAAAUGGUAUAAAAAAAAAAAAAAAAAGAAUGUUUUAACAACAAUCACCUUAAAAUCCUUCAUGUGCUACAAAACAAAUUGAUUGGUUUAAUAUUCAUCAUGAAAUUUCAUGUUAAUUAAGCUUUAGCUGAGAUGAUGGAGAAGGGGUCUAAAGUGAAAGGGGGAAAUUGGAUUGGAUCUAUGCUCCUCCUUUUUGCCAUUGUCUUAUACGAUGACCCUUUAAAUUAUAUUCGUCAAACUAAAGCCACAAUCGAUCGAAAGAAGCGUUACCAUGAAGCUAUAUUUACAUUUUUCAUUAUUAAGAUGGUUCUCAAAUUAUUUGGUGCUAAGGUAUGAAAUUCCUUAUCCAUAAUAUUGAAGAUCACCUAGGAAAUUAUUGAUUUUCAAACUCAUGUUCUUAAAUAAUAAUAAUAAUAAUAAUAAUAAAAUCUAAUAUCUAUUUUUUGUUUCUUUCCUUUCUAUUUUCUUCUUGUGAUCUUACCUAGGAUUUUUUAUUUUUUAUUUUUGCAUGGCAAAUAAGUUGCAGCAUUUUUAUACCAUAGAGUUAUAAAUCACACAACAAUGUGCUUCUCAAAUGUAGUUGGACCUAUGGAAUAAAUCGGUUUUUAUGGCCAUCCAAUGGCUUUCCUUGCUCCAAGCGUUUACGGCUAACCUCAUGUAAGUCUAUAUAUAUAUAGUUAUUUGAUUAAAUGGGUUAUUGAAAACUCAAAUUUGGACAAAUGACCUUCAUGGUUUGAAAGUAUGAACUAUGAUCGAGAAAUUAUAUUUGUAUUCAUCAAAUUUUUCUUUACAUUUAUCAUAUUUACACAUUCACUUUAAAAUACUAACUAUAUUAACACAUCACCUACAAAUUUCCAAUAUCAUAAAAACACUCUUCGCAUUCUUCUCUUCUAUACCUAUCUUCUUUUUUUUCUCUAUUAACUUUUUUCUUCUCAAUAAUAAAUCCUAAAAGAAACUAUCUUUUAGGGCUUAUUCUUCAUGUAAAUUUUGACUAAAAAAAUUUGUUCUAGAAACAAUUAGAAAAAAUUUAUAAAAAAUUAGAAAUGAGAAAUCAUGAAAAAGUGCAAAAGAAAUUAUAUUUGGACUGAUUUUUUACUCUGUGUUUUGUGGUAGGGAUUGAUGAUUGAUUUUCAAAGUUAUAUCAAUAAAAUGAUAUUUGUUCUUUCGGUUGAUGAAGAAAUAAUUCCCGAUCCUCACCAAUUAUGUGAUGAUCUUGAAGAGUCACUCAAGUUUAUGUUGACAUUGCAAGAGGGUUUGUCCAUAAAAAUUCCAUAAAAUAAGAAUGAUUAGUACAUGUUACAUCUGUGUGAACUAUGAAGAUCUGUGUGCUCUUAUGGUCAUUUGCAGUUUUAAUAGUAUGUGUUUUAUAAAUCUAAAGUGAAAUGUUUUAUUUUUGAAUAAAUUUUGAACUUUCUAAUGUUAUAUAUAUGUCACAUGCAUGUAUGCUUUGAAAUUUUUAUAUGAGAAUAAGACAUGUGGGUCAUGCCUUGUUCUGGGAAUGGGCCUAACUUGGGCCAGGCUUGGGCUUGAGCCUAACUGGGUCUUAAGUUGGGUUAAUUAGAACGAUGAAGUCAAAGAAUUGCAAAAUUUUGGGUUCCAUGAUAUCUCAAAAUUUCAAGAUAGUUUUUUCCUGAUUCUUACAAAAUUGGGUACAUAUCUACAUAGGUUGUUAGAGAUACUGUGAGGGAUUUGCACCACCUCAAACAAUAUUCUAACUAAAAAUGUCUCGUUCGGAUACACUUUUUCAUUUUUCUUUUUUAGAAACAAAAAGUUUUAAUAAUUUCUAUAUGAAAAUAGAAGUUCUUAUAUAAAAAAGGUAUAUGUUUACCCUGUGUCCUUAUAAUUUAUUUUAAAUAUUUUAAAAUUUUAGAUGAUAAUUUAAAAAAAAAAAAUAGUUUUUAAUUAGUUUUUAAAAGUCAUUGUUUUUUGGUGUAAGUCUCUAAGAUUUUUUAUAUUUAAAAGAAAUAAUAAAUGAUAAAAAUUAUGGUAUAUAUAUAGAGACAGAGAAGAGAAAAUAUAUUAUGCUUAACAUCCCAUUUAAAAUAAUGAUUUAUAUACUCAAAAACAGUUUAAUAUAAUGAUUUAUUUAGCUAAAUAUAUUUAAGAAUAUAAAAAAAUCAUGAUACAGAUAUGAGUACUUUUUAAUUAUUUAAAAAUUUUAUUUACAAGUUUAUACUUUUCUUAUAUUUAAUAUUAAAAUGUUAAUUUAAUUACAAAAAUGAUUAUGUAGUUUGAUAAAUUUAAAAAAAUAAUAAUAAUUUUUUUAUUAGUUUUAAUAUUUUAGAUUAUAAUAAAUUAAUUUUAUGUGCUUUUAUAAAUAUCAAUCAAGUUUAGCUUGGUGGUGAAGUGGCAUGAUAAAAGUUGUUUUCCUUUAUUUUUCAAAUUAUAAAGAAUAAAAUAAUAUAUACAUAUAUAUAUAUAUAUAUAAAUCACCCAACUUUAAAAUUUGAAAUUUCAUUAAAUCCAACCUUUUUCUUUAAUAAUUUUUUAAAACUUCCAUAUUUACCAUUCAUUUUCUUUCUCUUGCAUUUAUUGCGGACCAAACUUGUCAUAAAAUAAGUCAAAUUCGUUUUUGAUCUCUCUAUCCUCUAGCAAUCUCAAAUGGACCCAAGAUUGAGGUCAUUCUAUCAAGGCUUAAAAAUCAACACAAGGACCGACAAAAUGUGUGGACAUUAACAUCGGAAUCAUAAAUAAUCAACUACCUACCUUUCUUAUAUUAAAUAUUGAAUGUCAUAUUAGAAAAUUCUUAAAAUUGAAAAAAUAAAAGUAAAAAUUCAACAUCAUACCUCAGGCUAUGGCCAUCAAAUUCACAAUUUUUGAGAGUAAAUAAAAAACAGAAUAAAAUUAGGGUUUUAUUUGGCUAGUUCUUCUAAGAUCUUAUAUCUGAUGAAAACUUACAAACUUCUUAUAAACUAGAGACUCUUGUCUAUAUAAAGUUUAAUAUAAAUAUGAUAUUUUCUUAUAUUUUCUUUCCAUCAAAGUAAACAAAAUAAAUACCGAGUAAUAGUUACCACUAAAAGUGUGUCAUGACUAUAAAUGAUGGUUACAACACUAAGAGAUGUGUUUGUAUUUAGUGUCACAUAUUUUAAAGAAAAUAAUGUAUUUAAAUUUAAAUUUAAAUAGAACACAAAACUUAAAACAUUUAUUUAUUUUAUUUAAAAUAAAAAAUGUUUCCAACAUGUCACGCACAUGGGAUCCAUGUUGCCAUAAAUUCAUUUCCAAACUAGUUAUGAACCAUGAAUGACAAGUCCUAACUUCACUUCCACCUCCACUUGCUAUGAUACGUUGUCUUCAUGGUAAACAUGAUGACUUCGACGACUAAACAUUGAAAAAGGAUGUUUGUAGGGACCCCUCCCUCUGGGAAACACGUGUCACGCAUCUCAUAGUGACACGUGUUAUCAGCCGGACCAUCAUCAUCCGGAUUCCCCCUAAGGAUACGCAUGAUGCAGUUCUCCUAUCCGGACCGCCUCGAGGAAAGGCAAAUGACGUUUCAGCUUCUCCUAUCCAAGGAAGAGCAAACGUCGCUGGCAGAGCACAGACAUCCGGACAACCUUCAUAAUGCAUCCGCUCCACAAUACAUCCGGGUAAUCAGCAUGUGCCAUCCAGAUAUAAUCGUCCGGAUCAUCAAUUAAAGUAAAGCGAGUCUUACACGCUAUCACAACAAACGGCCAUGGCCCACAUCCUGCCACCUUCAGAGUGAGAAGACAAGAUGAAAUGACAGCAAGUCACCUCCCGCGAUCUCUGACAGCCGCAUCACCUACCAUGGUUUCUGACAGCCGCUCGUAGGGUGAUGAUGCUCCUACUAACGCCUAUUGUCAUCAUAAACAACAUAAAAUAUCUCCUCACCAUUAAUGAGAGGAACAGUACCCCUGAAGCUGUAUAUAUAUGCCUUCACACGAAGAAGGAAGGGAUCCCACUGGUAACCUCCUAAUACCUGGUAAAAGGCCAACUGAUUUAUAUCUCUCUCUCUGACCAUGGCUAACAAAACCAUCGGAGGGUGCGUCCGGACACCUUGUCCGGAUGCCUUCUUGCAGGUAUAACGACUGGAUCAAGAACCUUUAUGGGUUGAAAUCACGUGUCCAUCCAUUUGGCAACUACGUGGAUCGUCAGAGACGCGAGGUAUCAACAUUGGCACCGUCUGUGGGAACUUUUUACUUUGAUUCAGUCACUAAAAAAGAUGGUCACACCGUCCCGAAGCCAUUCAUCUGGUAGGGGAGGGGAUGAUAAUUUUGAAUGGCGCCUAGCCAUCGAAAGGAGACAGUUGGCAAGCGAAAGACAGCUGAAAGCUCUCCUCCAGGAGACAGAAAGAUUGAGAGAAGAAAACGCUGUGUUACGCAUCCAGGCUUCAACAUCAGGACCUCCUCGACGUCAGCGUUCGAGGGGCCAAGUAGCAGACUCAAGUCCUCAACAAGAACCAGAAUCAAUACAUCCUGGGACAACAGGAGCUAUCCCAGGAGCAUGCAACGUAAGACCUCAUGAGCCACGCACGCCUAUGCCUCGAGCUCCCCGUGAGGAAAGCUCAGACUCUACUCACUUUUCAGCGAAAAGACAACGUGAUAAAAAAUCUCAGUUGUCGAACUCAAUGCGCGCAAGACUAGGCCCACAAGAGCCUGGAAGAUCAAGGCCACCAAUGGCCAUAACCUGGGCACCACGCCCUGACCCUGUGACCACUCCCAUGGUGCAAAACGUUCACCCGCAUCGUGACCCCUUAGUCACCCCCGUGAUGCGGAAUGUUCAUUCGCACCCAGCGGAACAACCAACUGGGAGAAACAUCCCAAAUGGGCCACCCAUUGGCUCUAUUAGCAAAAGGUUGGAUGACAUGCUCUCCACGCCUUUCUGCUCUCAUAUCAUUAAUUACGAGCCCCCAAGGGGAUUCCUCGUACCAAAUUUUUCCACAUACGAUGGAACCAACGAUCCCUUUGAUCACAUCAUGCAUUAUCGACAGCUUAUGACGCUCGAUAUUGGCAACGAUGCACUGCUAUGCAAAGUAUUUCCCGCCAGCUUACAAGGACAGGCCCUCUCAUGGUUUCAUCGCCUACCUCCCAACUCCGUUGGCGAUUUCAGGGACCUGUCCGAAGCUUUCGUGGGGCAAUACUUGUGCUCCGCACGACACAAGCAAAAUAUCAGCACCCUGCAGAAUAUAAAAAUGCAAGAUAACGAAUCCUUGAGGGAAUUCAUGAAGCGAUUUGGCCCGGCCGUGCUUCAAGUAGAGGCUUGUAGUAUGGAUGCUGUCCUACAGAUUUUCAAGCGAAGCAUCUGUCCGGGCACUCCAUUUUUCGAAUCACUGGCCAAAAAACCCCCUACAACGAUGGAUGACUUAUUCAGGCGCGCCAACAAAUAUUCAAUGCUCGAAGAUGACGUACGCGCAGCCACCCAGCAAGUUUUGGUUGCCGGACGGCCAUCUAGAAAUAAUACGGAGGGAAAUAAUAAACCUCCGGAUCGGCCAAAGCCGUCUGACCGAAAGCAGGAAGGGUCAAGUCGCCCGGAAAUGCCGCCUCUCACACCUCUUUCCAUAUCAUAUGAGAAACUUCUCCCAAAGAUCCAGGGCUUGUCCGACUUCAGAUGGCCUAGACCCAUUGCAACGGACCCAUCCACAAGAGAUCGCAGUAAGAGAUGUGCCUUCCACAAGGAUCAUGGCCAUACAACAGAGACAUGUCGAUCUUUCCAGUUUCUGGUCGAAAGGCUCAUAAAAGCAGGGCAUUUGAAGCAAUACCUCCGAUCAGAUAAUGGAGGAAGGGACGCAUCCCAACAUCACAACCCCGGAGCCCCUAGGGCCCCAGCUGCCCCCAAGGCCGUUAUAAAUUAUAUUAACGGGGGUCCAUCUGACGAGGAGUACGAUUCUAGGCGAAAGAGGCAAAAAUUGUUGUGGGCCGCAUCAAUACGCGAGCGCAUCAAUUCCAUCCGGCCUGGGCUAACGGGAGGGGGCCCUCGCCCCAUAGAUGGGACAAUCAUUUUCCCACCGGUAGAUCCCACCCGGACACUGCAACCACAUCGCGACGCCCUCAUCUUGUCCCUGGAAAUUGGGGACUUCGAUGUGCGGCGUAUCUUGGUUGACCCAGGCAGUUCAGCCGAUCUUGUGCAAGCAUCAGUCGUUGGCCACAUGGGACACAGCCUCACAGGCCUCGAAAACCCUGGACGAAUCCUAUCCGGAUUCAACGGGUCUUCAACUACGUCCUUAGGAGACAUUGUACUGGCGGUCCAAGCAGGCCCAGUCACUCUCAACGUACAGUUUUCAGUAGUACAGGAGUUAUCACCCUUCAAUGUCAUUUUGGGGCGCACAUGGCUCCACUACAUGAAAGCUAUCCCCUCUACAUAUCAUCAAAUGGUGAGUUUUCUCACCAACCAUGGCCAAAUCGACCUAUAUGGCAGCCAAUUAGCCGCUCGCCAAUGCUAUCAGAUAGCGCGGGAAGCAGGGGUCAACCAGGAGGAUGCGUCUCCCCCUGAACCCAGCAUUGCACAUGACCAAUAGCAAUUAUUGGAUCCGGCGGACAAAGAUCCCCCGGCAGCAGAUCCCUUACAAACAAUCCAAAUUUCGGAGGAAAACACUCACCUCACGAACAUCAGUUCCCUCAUGACACAAGAGGAAACUCAGAGCAUGCAAAGUAUUCUCAGACGAAACCAUGACAUCUUCGCAUGGACACAUUCUGAUAUGAAGGGAAUCCAUCCCUCUAUUGCAUCUCACAGGCUUAACGUCUUUUCAACUGCCAGACCCGUCCGGCAGAAAAUUAGGCGUUUUCACCCAGAUAGACAAAAAGUCAUCCGGGAUGAGAUGGACAAAUUGCUCGAAGCCGGAUUCAUCAGAGAAGUUUCUUAUCCGGAGUGGUUGGAAAAUGUAGUGGUGGUACCCAAAAAAGAAGGAAAGUGGCGAGUUUGUGUAGACUAUACCAAUCUCAACAAUGCAUGUCCAAAAGACAGUUUUCCUUUGCCUCGAAUAGAUCAGAUUGUGGAUUCCACUUCCGAGCAAUGGAUGCUCUCUUUCUUGGAUGCCUUCUCCGGAUAUCAUCAAAUCCCCAUGUCCCCGGACGACGAAGAAAAAACAGCAUUCAUAACACCACACGGCCUCUAUUGCUACAAAGUCAUGCCGUUCGGACUCAAAAAUGCUGGUGCCACUUAUCAAAGAUUGAUGACUAAGAUCUUCGAACCUCUAAUAGGCCACACGGUAGAGAUAUAUAUUGAUGAUAUCGUGGUUAAAAGCAAAACCCGAAAGCAGCAUGUCCUUCACUUACAAGAAGUUUUUCACCUCUUACGAAAGUAUGGCAUGAAGCUAAAUCCUUCUAAAUGCACCUUUGGCGUAAGUGCUGGCAAAUUUCUGGGAUUUAUGGUCAGCCAAAGGGGCAUAGAAGUCAGCCCAGAUCAAGUCAAAGCAGUCAUGGAAACACCCCCUCCCAGGAACAAGAAGGAGCUACAACGCCUCACAGGCAAGCUCGUCGCACUAGGGCGUUUUAUAGCCCGCUUCACUGACGAACUGCGACCCUUCUUCUUGGCAAUACGAAAAGCUGGAGCACAUGGAUGGACGGACAGUUGCCAGAACGCUUUCGAAAAGAUUAAGUAUUGUCUUACGCAACCGCCCAUCUUGAGCAGCCCCGUUCCAAAUGAGAAAUUGUAUAUGUAUCUGGCGGUAUCAGAAUGGGCAAUCAGCGCCGUUCUAUUUCGCUGCCCCUCACCCAAGGAGCAGAAGCCUAUCUACUACGUCAGCAGGGCGUUAGUAGACGUAGAAAUCAGAUAUUCAAAAAUGGAGCUAACAGCCUUAGCCCUUCGAAGCGCUGCCCAGAAGCUCCGCCCGUAUUUCCAAGCUCAUCCAGUGAUCGUACUAACUGACCAGCCCCUUCGCAACAUUCUGCACAAGCCAGAUUUAACCGGGAGAAUGCUGCAAUGGGCCAUUGAACUAAGCGAAUUUGGAAUCGAAUUCCAACCCAGAUUGGCCAUGAAAGGCCAAGUAAUGGCUGACUUCGUGCUAGAAUAUUCCUGAAGGCUCAGCCAACAUGACGAAUCAAGUAAAAAAGAAUGGUGGACUCUGCGAGUUGACGGAGCCUCACGCUCAUCAGGCUCUGGAGUUGGGCUCUUACUACAGUCCCCAACUGGGGAACAUUUGGAGCAAGUCAUCCGGCUGGGAUUCCCUGCCUCUAAUAAUGAAGCAGAAUAUGAGGCUAUCCUGUCCGGAUUGGACCUCGCCCUUGCUCUAUCCAUCUCCAAACUCCGGAUCUUCAGCGACUCACAACUCGUGGUAAAACAUGUCCAGGAGGAAUAUGAGGCUAAGGACGCACGCAUGGCGCGAUACUUAGCUAAAGUAAGAAACACCUUGCAGCAAUUCACCGAAUGGACAAUCGAAAAAAUCAAGCGAGCUGACAAUAGGCGCGCUGACGCUUUGGCCGGUAUAGCUGCCUCCCUCCCUAUCAAAGAAGCCAUUCUAUUGCCCAUACAUGUGCAACCCAACCCCUCUGUUGCAGAAAUUUCUACUUGCAACACCAUUGAGGCAAAUCAAGCGGAUGAUCAAGAAUGGACGUAUCACAUCGCAGAAUAUCUCCGGACAGGCACUCUGCCCGGAGAUCCCAAACAAGCACACAAAAUCCGGGUACAAGCUGCCCGUUUCACCCUGAUUGGGGGGCACCUGUACAAGCGAUCCUUCAUAGGACCUUACCUUCGGUGCCUAGGGCAUUCAGAGGCCCAGUAUGUGGUAGCUGAGUUACAUGAGGGAAUAUGCGGAAAUCAUUCGGGAGGACGAUCUCUGGCACAUAGAGCUCAUUCGCAAGGAUACUAUUGGCCAACAAUGAAGAAAGACGCGGCAGCAUAUGUUAAAAAAUGUGAUAAAUGUCAACGGUAUGCUCUCAUUCCACAUACGCCAUCAGCAACAUUGAAAACAGUCUCAGGCCCAUGGCCCUUUGCGCAGUGGGGCAUGGACAUAGUGGGACCCCUCCCAGCAGCACCUGCCCAGAAGAAAUUUCUCCUUGUUGCCACUGAUUACUUUAGUAAAUGGGUAGAAGCUGAAGCAUAUGCAGGCAUCAAAGACAAAGAUGUCACCAAGUUCGUGUGGAAGAACAUUGUUUGCCGUUUUGGAAUCCCCCAAACCAUCAUAGCUGACAAUGGUCCACAAUUUGACAGUAUUGCAUUCAAGAAUUUCUGUUCGGAGCUGAACAUCCGGAAUUCAUACUCCACACCACGAUAUCCUCAAAGUAAUGGGCAAGUAGAAGCCACAAACAAGACCCUAAUCAAUGCCCUAAAGAAAAGGCUUGAGCAAGCUAAAGGGAAGUGGGUGGAGGAGCUACCCGGCGUCCUAUGGGCCUAUCGAACCACACCCGGACGACCAACAGGAAACACUCCUUUCGCCCUCACGUAUGGAAUGGAUGCAGUCAUUCCUACAGAAAUAGGUCUUCCUACUAUCCGGACUGACGCAGCAAAGCAAGAUGAUGCAAGCGCGGAAUUAGGGAGAAAUUUAGAUUGGGCAGAUGAAGUGAGGGAAAACGCGGCCAUUCGGAUGGCAGAUUAUCAACAAAGGGCAUCAGCACAUUACAAUCGCAAAGUGAGGCCAAGAAGCUUCAAAAAUGGUACACUAGUCCUUAGAAAAGUUUUUGAAAAUACUACUGAAGUGGGUGCAGGGAAAUUCCAAGCCAACUGGGAAGGACCCUAUAUAGUGUCUAAGGCAAAUGACAAUGGAGCCUGUCAUUUACAAAAAUUGGACGGAACUCCAUUACUUAGACCUUGGAAUGUGUCUAAUUUAAAGCAGUACUAUCAAUGAAAAAGCAGAGACAAGUGCAAAUGAAAAAGAACUAUUUUUAUUGAUAUGGAUAAAUGUAUGAACAAAGAGGUCUCCGGACCACAAAAAUACAAAAGGAAGAUUACAGCAGAAAAUUGCAAAAAGAGAUAAACUAUCAUGGAGCAGGCUUCUCAUAGAGCUUCUUUUCUUCACCCGGAGGAAUUGAAGGGACGUCCCGCUUGAUGUCGUUCUUCUUCAUGCAGCACCGAUACCCAAAGAUGAAUGUAUCAUCCACUUGUUUUUGGUAUUCUGCUUCAAGUUCCUCCCUCUCUACAGCAAACUCCCGUUCUAGCUCCUCUUUUUGUGCAACCAAGCGCAGCUGCAAAUCUUCCCUCUGUUUCUUUUCGAUAGAAACCUCUGUCCGGAGGUGCCUCACCUCCCCCUUCAGUCGGGCUAUCUCAUCCUCUGCCUCAUGCAAACGGGCAAUCAAUGAUUCCUCCCGGUCCUUAGCCUCAGCUAAUUCCACCCGAAGGACUUCAUUGUCCUCUCGAGCAGUGGAUAAGCUGGUUUCAGCCUCCGCCAGUCUCAGGCGCAACUGAUCUUCAACAUCUUUGCGCCGAGAGGCGAAGAUCUUCAUAUAAUCAGUGGUCCGCAGCAGGUCAGAAAAGAGAUCGUGUUGUUUGGCCAUGCCGCGGAGACCACUCACCAGCUGACACGUAAGCAAAGCAAAGUUAUAAAUCAUACCACAACAACACAUCAAAAUAGCAAAAGAAUCAAAAAAGCACGAAAAACAGUUUACCGUUUCCACCGUCUCGAACAUCUGGGCUGAGGGCAUGAUGUCAGGCGAGCCGGGUGGAAUUUGUUUCAGCUUAUCUUCCAACUCCGCAUAGCUAAAAGAGCUAUCGGAGGAGCAAGAUGCGUCAUUAACAGGUCCCCCCCCGGAUGAAGCAGCAGAAGGUGAUUUUUGUUCCGGAUAAGGGGCCUCAACAUUUACGGCCGGAUGGACCUCCCCGGGUGCAACCUCAGCCGGGACCACCAUCCAGACGACUGGAGUCUCAAUUACCAUCUCCACUUCGCCCCCCUCCAGAUGAGCGUCGUGGACAGAUGAGCAACUAACUUCAAUCUCUUGCUGCCGCUCUUGAAGCCGCCCGUGGAGUCCGGACCUCAGAUUGCGCACCGAGCGAGGCCUCUUUGAGGGUGGCCCCGUCACCAGAACAAGAGCCAGGCGGUCCGGAUCGUCAGAGGGCUGACUCUGACUUUCCGCCCCAGCUUCCUCCAUCGGGUCCGCGCAAACGGCUUCAACUGCAUCAACACCCGAAGUAGGGGAGUCCGGAUGGUUGAUGGACGCAGCUUCCUCAGCCAAAUUUGCCGGACGGGCAACCGCUGCCAAAGAGGUGCUUGAGUGAUUCAGCCCCGCGAUGUGUCCGGACCCGCUUGAGAUAGAAUGAGGAGCGGGGUUCACUGGCUCCUCUAUCAUUACCUCCGCCUCGUGAGUAAUGAGCGGAUGAGCAAAUUCCAUGGGAGGAGUGGGCUCCCUCACUCCCUUCCCAUUCUUCACCAGCUUCCUCCUUUUUGCUGGAGUUUUCUUUGGAGGAGAGUCUGCGUCGCGUUUCUGUCCGGGAGCCUUGCGAAGGGUUCCUUCGUUUUUCUUCUUCUCCCGAUUGACCAGAAGCGCUCGGCGUUUUUCAACGUCAGCCUCUUUUGACGCCUGGUAAAUCGGGAGAUCCUUCACAAUAUAAUGCUCCCCAGGCACUACCUCCUUUGGCAUCUUCCUGGGGAGAAUGUUGAUGACGUACUCUUGGGACUCCCGGACGACCGCCAUUAGGUUCCGCGCAAUCAGCAACGUCUUGCACUGCCUCUCCUUGGCGUCUAUCUCAAAAAGCUUGCUGAGACAGCCAAAAGACGCCUUUUCCACCCAAUCCACGAGGUGGCCCCUUUUUUCCGCACCUGCAUUAACAGCAACAGAGGUUGAGAAUACCAUCCGGAGAGAUCAACAAGAAAACAACAAGGUAAAAAUCAGGACAGAAGUCGCAAAGCAAACUUACCCGGAAUCUUGAAGGAAUAGUUUGGAGAAAAGGGCCUCGCCGGAUGCCUCGACCCCGCCCACGUACCCCGGACCAUCACCCGUCCCUUUGCCCCUCCCUUCGUCGAGUCGGGCAGUUCCGUCACCAAUUGAAGGGAAGGCAGGUGCGCGGACAGGCUGAAGAUGUCAGCUUUCGCCUUCUUCAGUGAGUAGACGAAGAACACCUCCAGCAUUGUAAGGUCGAGGUUGUACAGCAUGUUGAUGAUGCUGCAUCCCAUCAGCACCCGGAUAAUAUUGGGAUGAAUGAAGACGGGUGGAAUCUUAGUGAAAUGGAGAAACUCCAUGAGCAACGCUAGCAGGGGGAACCGGAGCCCUGCAUUGAAUUGUUCCUUGCAGAAGACGAUAGCACCUUGUUCGGCUUUCUCAGUAGGCACCACGUCCUCCCCAUGAAGAAAUUCAACAAUUACGCCAUUUGGAAUGCAGAAUCGAUCUCGAAACUCCUUCAUGCUCAACUUGUCUAUGGACUUUUCAUAAGCGUCGCCAACUCGCGCAGAUGAAGCACCUUUCUUCUUUGAAGACAUUUUUCAGGCCAAAAUUGAACCAAAACCUACAUACGAGAAAUGCAACAGUCAAACACAGCCAAAACAACCCCACAAACCCUACACAAUAACAACACUCAGAAAACCUCGCACCACCAGUAUACCCAUUCCAAAAUCCUUGACUUUACCCCAACAAAAAACCCCCCAGAGCACCAACAAAUGCCAACAUUCAAACAAACAGUCGUAAGCAACUUACCCAAACAAAACCCAAACAAAUCAGAAACCAAGAUCAAAGAACCAACAAACGCAACAAAAGGAACAACAAUAGCAAAAGUCUACGUACCAAAUGAAGCCCUGAAGGAGAAAGGUUGUUGUCUCGAUACAAAAUUACCAGCAGCAAACGAAUGUCGCGACACAAAAUCACCGGUACAAAAGAGCUUUCGAGUUUCUUUACUCAGAGAAGCAAAGGACACAAUAGAAGUAGGAAGAAGAAAGGCUCUCAAGGGAAUACAGUAGAAAAAAUGCAAAAAGAAGGUACAGUGCGCUAUUUAUAGGAGGACAGGCCCUCGGAAAGCCAAACGUCCAAACAAAUGCCAUCAUUGAAAUGACAUAUUGCCUGGGGAUACACAGGGUCGGCGGCUCAUCAUAAAAGCCUUUUUUGGCUUCCGCACCCCCACUCGCCACGUGGCCCAGUCAAACGAAGAGACCUCUUCAGUUUUCAAAAAGGCCAGUUAUUUUUUAACCCGCCCAUUUUUUGGCAAAAUAGGCAAGUUAAAAAGGGGGGCAAUGUAGGGACCCCUCCCUCUGGGAAACACGUGGCACGCAUCUCACAGUGACACGUGUUAUCAGCCGGACCAUCAUCAUCCGGAUUCCCCCUAAGGAUACGCAUGAUGCAGUUCUCCUAUCCGGACCGCCUCGAGGAAAGGCAAAUGACGUUUCAGCUUCUCCUAUCCAAGGAAGAGCAAACGUCGCUGGCAGAGCACAGACAUCCGGACAACCUUCAUAAUGCAUCCGCUCCACAAUACAUUCGGGUAAUCAGCAUGUGCCAUCCGGAUAUAAUCGUCCGGAUCAUCAAUUAAAGUAAAGCGAGUCUUACACGCUAUCACAACAAACGGCCAUGGCCCACAUCCUGCCACCUUCAGAGUGAGAAGACAAGAUGAAAUGACAGCAAGUCACCUCCCGCGAUCUCUGACAGCCGCAUCACCUACCAUGGUUUCUGACAGCCGCUCGUAGGGUGAUGAUGCUCCUACUAACGCCUAUUGUCAUCAUAAACAACAUAAAAUAUCUCCUCACCAUUAAUGAGAGGAACAGUACCCCUGAAGCUGUAUAUAUAUGCCUUCACACGAAGAAGGAAGGGAUCCCCCUGGUAACCUCCUAAUACCUGGUAAAAGGUCAACUGAUUUAUAUCUCUCUCUCUGACCAUGGCUAACAAAACCAUCGGAGGGUGCGUCCGGACACCCUGUCCGGAUGCCUUCUUGCAGGUAUAACGACUGGAUCAAGAACCUUUAUGGGUUGAAAUCACGUAUCCAUCCAUCUGGCAACUACGUGGAUCGUCAGAGACGCGAGGUAUCAACAAUGUUCACGUUGUGUCUUAAGGGCAUCUUGCUUUAUCAAAUAUUUAAUUUAUGUACUAUCAUUUUGAUAGACAUUAAAAUUAAUUAUUUCAAAAAAAAAAAAUCGGUAGAAAAUUUCCCAAACCAUAAUGCUCGAGAGAGUUACACCACAUAUUUGUAGCUUAGGACCACGGGGUCUCACAAGUCAUAUCCAUAAAGUUUUUGUACUUGAUUUGUCUAUUUGGCCACCAAACAUACAGAAAUUGUAGCUCAUAUUUACUAGUUUAAUUAAAGUGGCAUUUAUUUUUUAUUUUUGUCAUGGACUAUGUACUAGGAAUCGAUGCUGGAUUCCUACUGCAUCAUUUCUUAAGUAUGAUACUUGGGUCAUGGACAACAACUUUGUUUUAGAGUUCUAAUGAGUUAGAAGCCCAUUUAACAAGUCGGAUUAAUUUCCCAUACGAUUUAUAAGUAAUCUAUUACUUGAAAAUUAUCGACUUAUUUUGUUCUUGAGUAAUUACUCAAGGGUGCAUUAAGUGGUAGAUUUAACAUUACGCUUAGAGAGAAAAUAUGUUGAUGGCUUCUAUAUAGGAUGAGAACAAAACAAGUUUGGGAUGAGUCAUCCCAUCUCAACUUGGUUUUAAUCAUUUAAAUUUAUUCUUGUCCUCCUCCCUAAAAAUAAAUUUAAUAAAGCACCUUAAGGCCAUUUACCCUUUUUCAAUUUUGUAAUUUUAAUUACAUUAAAAUAAAUAUAAUUCAUAACUAAAUAGUAUAAUUUUUACAAUUUAUAUGAAUUUUUUGUUUUAAUUAUGAUAAAAAGAGGGAAAAUAAAAAAAAAUAUUAAUAGUUUUUAUUUAGUUAUAUAUAUAUAUAUAUAUAUAUAUAAACUAGGUGUAACGAGACAAUACAAUAUCUAAACCCAUACAAAAGCCCCUACCCAAUGACAUUUAUCUUUAUCUCAAAUCGAUUCUAUUAAGAGUGGAUACCUGAAAUAAAACCCGCUUCAUUGACAUCCAUAACACAAAUAUAUAUAUAUAUAAACAAAGUGGAGCGAGGUGAAACAAUGCAAUAUCAUCCGAACCCACACCAAAUGGAGUUUUAAAGAAAAAUCUCAAAACUUCUACCUAAGGCAUUUAUCUUUAUCUCGAAUUGAUCUUAUUAGGGAUGGAUGCCUGAAAUAAAACAUGUCUCAUUGACAUCAAUAUUUCCACUAUAAUGUAUCUCUUUGGAUGUUUUAAAAUAAAAUAAAAGACAAAAAAUUGGAAAAGUAAAUUAAGAGAAAAAUUAAAAUAAAUAUCAAAAAAAUAAACUAGUAAAAAAAUAAAAAAUAAACCGAAAAAGAAGUUGGAAAAAAAUUUUAAAACAAAAGAUAAAACUCUUUGCAACUCCUUAAUGCAAUUUUAUGUUUUAUGUAUAUAGACCAAUUUGUUUUAUAAUUUUAUACUAACUUGAAAGGGACUACUCUAAAAGGAAGGACACUCGAUUAAAGUCAAUACAUCCCACCGAGACAGAAAUCAAAAUGGAGUCGCAUUCACUCAAUCAAAGACAAUUUAAUUCGAUCCAUUUAACCAUGGUCGUGAGAAAGUCAUAGAUAUACUCCUAAAAAAUAAGUGGAUACUAACUCCUCAUGUCCACAUCUAUCUAGUUGUAAUUAAGUUAAGGUAACUCAUUGAAAAAAUAAAUAAACUUAGGAGUGUUUGAUAUAGGGGGAAUAAGGAAUGAAAAUGAAUAUUUUAUUUCUAUUUCUAUUUUUUGGUAAAUGAAAAUAAAUUUAGUGAUUGCAUUUUUAGAGUUUGUAUGAAUUUAGGAAUUCAAUAUUUAAAUUAUUAUUUGUUUCCAUUCUAAUGAAAAUUAAAAAAAAAAAUUAACAAUAAUACCCUUAUAUAGUUUAAAAUAAAAUAAAAAAUUCAUUUUUUUAAAAUAAAUUUUGAGAGUUCUUUUUUCUUAAUAAUAAAACUAAAAAAAAAAAGUCUUAUUAUGGGAUAAAGAAAUAUCAUAACUUGAUGAAUGAAAUGGAAGGAUAAAAUAGUAAUAUUACUUUUUAUCUAUGUACUUUCUCUCCCUUUAGAUUGAAAAUAAAACCAAAAACAAAGAAAAUGUCUCAAACAACUAAAGUCCUUAAAAUUAACCUUAUCUUAAUCUACAAAAAAAAUUCCUAGAAGUCCUAAUAUGAUGAACCAAAAUUAUAAACCUUAUUUCCUGUCAAAUCCAAACUCAUCUAUAAUCCAUGAACUUCACCAUUUCUAAAGCCUACACUCUUUAAACCACCUCACUUUUUCGAGGUUUGUUUAUAGGCAAAAAAAAUAAAAAAAUGUCUCAACUUUUCCUACAAGAUGUUUGUCUUUGGAGGAAAAAAAACUCUCAAAUAAUAAUAAUAAUAAUAAUAAUAAUAAUAAAGGUGUUAAAAGGAAAAGAAACAUUUACCUAGGGGAAUCAUAUCAAUUGGUGUUAUUAACAUAACAAGUGAAAUGAUCAUUUUGGGAAUAAUUAUAUGACUCACAAAACAAUACAUAUAUUUAAAAAAUUUGUUGUUCUUUUCUCCAUAUUUUUUCAAAUUAGUAAUUAAAGACCCAUUUUUCCCAUUAUUUAUUCUUGUCUUUGUGGAUUGUUUUAAAAAUAAUUAUAAAAAUAAGGAGAAUGAUUGAUUAAAAAUAAAGCAUUAGAAAUAAAAUUUAUUUUUAAUAAAUAUUUGGAAACAUAAAAAACAAGUUGAGAAUAUUCUAAACUCCCAAACAUAUUUUUGUUCUAGAAAAAAAAAAUCAUAAAACUAUUUUAAAAAUUGUCCCUAUAAACCAGUUUUUUAGAACAAGUUUCUAAAACAUUACUAAAUAUAUCCUUAAUUUUCCUAUUGAAAUGCCCACGUCCCAACUCAACUCUGUGACAUAAAGUAUAAUAAAUUUAGAAAUAUAUUUUAAAGUAUUAUAUUUUAAGAAGCAUUUUUAAGAUUUGCUAUAUUUGUUUGUACUAUAAUUUAUAUCUCAAAUUACUCACAUAUUCUUGAAUGGUUUCCAUAUAUUUAUUUAGAAAGCAUUAUAACUUUAGUUCUUUUAACAAUGUGUAUUGCUAAUAUUGUAAUCAUAUACUUGAAGAUAUUAUUAUCUAAUAAAAUUUUAAAGGAUAUAAUAUAUAUAAGGACUUGAAAGAAUAUUCUUGAGAAGUUUGCAUGUAUCUAAUUUGAAAUGAAAAUGAAACUCACUUUACAAUUGAUGACUCAUCCUCAAAUGAGAAAAGUUAAUUCCGGGAAUUGAUGACUCAUUACCCAUUCCCUUCAUUUCAUUAUAUUAAUCAACAAACCCUACGUAAACCAAUUCAUGCCCUUAUGUGGUUUUGGGCAUUUUUUAUAAUUAAAACGUGGCAUGAAAGUUUGGUAUGGUGGUUGGGGGUUAUCAUAAAUUUGAAAGGGAUGCCCAGGUUCCGUCCAAAACUUAGACGACUUGUUCAAUGACCGUCCACAUAUAACUCAAAAAUUCCAUCACUAAUCUUUUGUGGCAAAACCCUCAAAUCCUUUCUUUUUUUUAAUAAAUUUAUAUGGCCUCCAUCAUUAAUCCAAAAUUCAAUUUGAAAUUUGAUUCUAGAAAAAAGUAAUAUGACUUCUCGUCCUUAAUCCUAAAUUCAAUGUGAAAUUCGAUUCUGGAAAAAGGCAAUAUGACUUCUAGUCCUAAACUCAGGUUGAUCCUAUAAAUAGGAGCACAGCCAACGAUGGUGGAGGCACGCCAUCUUUCGAUUUCUCUUCUUCUGUUGUUUUUCAUUUUGAAAUCAGCUAGCACCAUGGAAACCCUAGAAGGUUUGAAGCACGCACUUAAGCCUAUUAGAAUUGUGCCUAAAGAAGGUGAUGAAAAGGGAAUGGUGGUUAAGCGUCAUGAUCAGGAAGAUCAUCAGCCAUUGAGUCCAAUGGCUCGUUUGUUUCAUGAACCUGACUGCAAUCUCUAUGUUAUCGCCAUGAUAGGCUCGAAAACUCGCAUCGACCCUGACGUGGUUAAAGCCAACCUGGUGCAUAGUCUCCUUAAACACCCUCGUUUCUUUAGUCUGCAGGUAAGGAAUGAACUUUCCAUUUAGUAAUUUAAAGCUACAUUGAACAUUUUUGAACUAAAAUGCAGCGGUAUUAUUCCAAAAGGCAUUGUGAAAUUUUUCAGUAUUAUUAAUCUAUUUCCAUUGUUUGCUAACCAUUAAAUCAUCUUCAAAAUCAGGUUAUGGAGGAGGAAAAGGGAGGAGAGAUGAAAUGGGUUCCGACAAAAGUUGAUUUGGAAAAGCACGUUAUAGUUCCAGACAUGUGUUCCGACAUGGAAACAUCAUCAGAUAAGUACGUGGAAGACUACAUUUGCAACCUCACUAAAACAACCCUAGACUUUUCCAAGCCAUUAUGGGACCUUCAUCUCCUCAACGUCAAAACCUCCGACGCCGAGGCCGUCGCCGUUUUCAGGAUUCACCACUCCCUCGGCGAUGGCACGUCUCUCAUGUCUCUUUUACUUGCAUGCACACGCAAAGCCUCGGAUCCCACGGCUCUGCCUUCGGUUCCCAUGAUGAAGAAACCAAAAUCAUCGGCUGGGUCUGGAAAGUGGUGGAAGGCUUUCAGACUGGUUUGGAAUACGAUCAUCGAUGUUUUGAUGGUGAUCGCCACAGUGUUGUUCUUGAAGGACAGAGACACGCCUCUUAGGGGUCCGCCCAAUGUUGGAUCCACAGGACGGAGAAUUAUUCACAGGACGAUUAGUCUGGAGGAUGUUGUGAUGAUAAAAAAUGCAAUGAGCACUGUAAGUCAACUUGUUGCAUGCAUGGAAAACAAAUACAUGUUUUGCAACUGUUUUAAAAAAAAAAAACAAUUUUCUGUUUUUCAAAUAAAAUAAAUAGAAAAACAGUUUAGAUAAUAAUAAAAAAAAUAGAAAAUGAGGUAUUUUCAAGAAACAACUUUUAAUUAUUUUUAUUUUCAUUUGUUUUUGUGAUAAUUGUUUUCAAAAAUAAUUAUAUAAAUAUAAAUAAUGAUUAAAAAUUAAAAGCACAAGUUAUUUUCAAAAAUAUAUUUUAAAAUAUAGAAAUUAAGAAUAUUCUAGAUUCAUUCCCGAAUAAAAAUUAUUUUCCAUAAAUGUUUAUGAAAAACACUUAUCAAACAAAGCUAUGAUUUUUUCUUUUUUGGACUAUGCCCCAUAAUUUUUUUAUUUUUUAAAGCAAAGAAAUACAAAGCUUUUUUACUUUACGAUCACUUCAAUGAAAGAGUGGGUAAUCAUAUAUUUGAAGAAGUUUAUAACUCCUCUCUCAAUCAUUAGUGGAGAGAUUAAGAACUAAAAUUUUUCUAGCUCUCAUGUGCAGACUGUUAAUGAUGUUAUGGUGGGAAUCACACAGGCUGGUUUGUCUCGGUACCUCAAUAGGCGAUAUGGUGAGCUCCUAUUUUAAUUUUCAAAAUUCAUAUAUUAAGUGGUGAAGAGUAAUUAUAAUACACCACCUAGCUACUCUCUCUAUGUAUAAAAGGAUGUUAUAAAGCUUGUAUGCUCACAUGGUAGCUGAAGGCAAGAAGAAUAAAGGGGCAACGUACAGAAAAGAAAAAUAAUCUUCCCAAGAACCUUUCUAUCAGAGCAACUCACUUCAUUAACAUAAGACCAUCUGCAGGGAUCCAUGUGGGUGUUUCUACUUUCUUUAUCAACCCCUCGUGAAGGAAUUAGUUAAUUUCUCUUUGGGAAGUGUUUUCAAAAAAUGAAACACAGUUUUUGAAAACGGUUAUUUGAUAUUUUAUAAAAUAAAAGUUUGUUUAAAAAUCUGAAAUUAAUGUUAUUUACGUUUUCUAUAUUUUUAAAUAUGUUUUAUUAUUAAUCGAUCUCCAUAUUUUUAUAAUUAUUUAUUAAAUAGUUCUUAAAAAAUAUUUUUUGAAAACACUUCAUUUUUAAAUAAUUGUUUUAUUUAAAUUUGUUUUCAAAAUUUAAAAAUUAUUUUAAAAUCAAUUAUCAAACAAGUCUUUAAUUUCUUGUCUCAUGCAUGUAUACAUUCAUAUCGUACAGACCUUAGCUGAAAUGAUGGAGAAAGGCUCUGAAGCGAAAUGGGGCAACUGGAUUGGCUGUCCUUCUUCCUUUAUCCAUUGCAUUACGUGACAAUCCUUUAGAUUACAUUCAAAAAGCUAAGGAAGCUAUGGAUAGAAAAAAAGCCUCUCUUGAAGCUCUCUACAUACAUUCCAUGGCUAAGUCAAUUCCCAACUUAUUUGGCACUAAGGUAUGAAUUAAUAUCACUCAACCCUACCUUGUUUCCUCAAAAUUAAGUACUUCUAGCUUAAUUAAUAUCACUGUCUAAUAAACAAUUAAAAGUGGUAUAUAUAGACUCACUUCUUUCAUUGGUAAACAGACCGGAAGUGUUCUAUGCCUCAAAGUCCCCUCUCGUACGGCAAUAUGGUUCUCAAAUGUAGUUGGACCCCAAGAAGAAAUUGCCUUCUUUGGCCAUCCAAUAGCCUACAUUGCUCCAAGUUGUUUUGGUCAACCCAAUGUAAGUCUUCUUAAACUUUAUUUGACAAUGUUUUAAAAAAUGCUUUAGCCUAUAAAAUGUUUUACAAAAAAAAAUUAAAAUUUAGAAAUCACUUUCAAAAAGUUAAAAAGUCACUUAUAGAUAUUUUCGAAGAAAUAUUUGAUAGAUAAUUCUCUUAAUACUUUUUUUAAAAAUUAAUUAAUGUUUCAUGUAAAACACUCUCAAGAAAAACACUUCAAAGUACAUUUUUAGAUUGUGUUUGAUAAUAUUUUUACUCAGAAUGUUUUUAAUGAAAACAUAUUCUCUAAAAGUAUUUUAAGAUAAUUAUCUAUCAAAUAUUUCUCCAAAAGAUACUAUAAGUGAUUUUUUAAUACUAUAAAUAAUUUUUCAUAUUUUUAAAAGUGUUUCCCAAAUUUAAUCAAAUACUUAAAGACAAAAAUGCUUCUUAAAAUCAUUGUCUAACUCUUAUUCAUGAAACAUAAACUUUUCUAUUUCUUAUAAAUUAUUAGCCAUUUUUAGUACAGUAAAAAUGGUGGUUGAUUCAAUCUGAAUUUGAGUCUCUUGAAUAUCUAUUGCAGGCAUUGAUGAUUCAUGUGGUGAGCUAUGCGGAUAAAAUGAAUAUCAUUCUAUCAGUUGAUGAAAGUACAGUCCCUGAUCCUCACCAACUGUUUGAUGAGCUUGAAGAGUCUUUCAACCUCAUCAAGAAUGCUGUGAUGGCUAGAGACUAAACUCCACAGAAUGUCACAUGGCAAGGGCCAGGGUUAAUGUAAUUAAUAUUUAUAAUGUUCUGAAAUAAUUUUCUUAGGGUUCCUGCAAUAAUGAUGUUGUAUUAGAUGACUAAUUAUUUAUAAUGUACUAAAUAAAAAAUGCCUCUCUACUAUAUCUUUAUCUUAAUCCAAGUUCAUAUUUUUUGGACUUUAUUUCAUUUUUAAUUACUGUAUUUUGAUGACUAAUUAUGGGUUCUUUCUAAUUUCAUCUUUUAAUUUUUUAUUCUUUUUUUUAUUUUUUUUUUAUUCCUCAUAUCUUUUGCAGUAUCCAUUUUUAAUUUUAGGGCUUGAAUUUCUACUUCAUUUCAUUAAUUUCUUCCAUAAUUUUUAAUUUUUAUUAUUAUUAAAUAAUUGUAAUACUAUUAAAUAUGAAGUUCUUGGCUGGCUUACAUAAGAACCCAUCUCCUGGUUUAUAUUGAUCCCUACCAUUUUUGACUUUGAAGAGGGUCCACUUUUUACAUCUAAUAACAAAGCGUGGGUCCACAAGAGUGGGACUACAGACAGCAAGGAGGCCAUUGUCAAUCAUUCUCCAAUCUUGAGAAAAUGAGAAACACAUGUUUAAGGUGGGCUGCCACUUCAAAAAACAACAUUAUCUAAUUAAUGAUCCAUGCAUGCAUGGAUGGGACCCAUUUAAAAACAACAAAGAAAAUAAAAAUAAAAACAAAAAGAAAAUGAGAAACCUUGUUGAUGACAUAAUUUUAAAAGGACGCGUAAAAGUCUCUUACAAUUUGAGUGCAAAGUAUAACCCAAGGGACUUAAAAUCCUUUUUAAUUCUCCUAUUAAUAAAUCUUCUUAUCUUUUUAAAUAAAAUUGAAUAAAACUUUGAUUGUUUAACAUCCACUAUAUUCUAAGAAAUUUUAAAAAACUUAAAAGCUAAAAAUAUAAAAAUAAAGUAUUCACUUUCACUUUGCUCAUGAAAAAUAUAAAUAUCAAGAGAAAUACAAUAGGAUCAAUAUUUAUAAAAAAAAUUAAGUUUUUUUUGUUUUCAUUGUAUUGAAUUUUUAAGUAUUUUAAUUUUUAAAAUUUCUUAUUUUAUUAUUAUUCAAUAUUCCUAAGAAUGAUUGUUUUUAAAGAAAAAAAAAUUCUAAAAUAAAAUUUUUUUAAAAAGAAAACUAAAAGGGACACAAUUCUUUACAAUUAAGCAUCUACGUAUUUAUUUAUUUAUUAAAUUUACAAACAUAACAAGUAAAAUAGUCAUUUCGGAAAUAAUUAUAUAACUUAUGAAAAAGUGCAUAUAUUUUGAAAUAUUUUUAAAUGAAUAAAAAUGAAAUUGAUUUAUAAAAAUUAAAUUUUUUUUAUAUCUUUUUAAAUUAGCGAGUCCUAACCCACUUUUUCCUUUUUGAAAUGCCCAAUUACAAGGAAUGUCGGAUUGGUUUUAUCCUAACUUCUUAUCCUUCAAUAUAUAUGUUUAGUACUAUGUGAAAGCAAGAGAAAAUUAAGAUUGAUUUGCACAACUAUUUUUAUGUGAAAUUACUUUUUAAAUAUGUAAAAUUUAUGUUGAUGCCAUAAUUUAUGUGGGGAUUUUUUGUUUUAUUAUGAGCUUUUGAUUUAUUAUAGUGAUGCAUGGUGUUCAAUCGUCAAAUGAUUUAUUAGGAAAAGAGGGUUUUAGUCAUGCAAAGAAAAAUGAACAUGACUAUAUAUAAAACCCGACGAUGUAUAUAAUUAAUCCUAGGAAGAAGAGAGAUCGUGACUAAAAGUGCUUUCUUGUUAUGAUUUUGCCUAAGUGUGAGUAGACCGAUUGGUGUAUAGAAAAUAACCUUCGUAGUCAGACAAGGAGCCAAAGCCACCAUGCCCAUAAAUAUACUUUAUUUUUUUCCAAGGAGUUCAAUUACUUUAUAAUCAUUUAUUCUUAUGAUGAAAUAAAUAGAAAUCCAUUUGUCUAGCAAACGAGUUUUUAAUGUGAUUCAAUUAAUUAUAUUUAUUUUUAAUAUAUAAGAUCAUAUAAAAAAAUUUACAAAAGAAAAAAAUCAAAUCACACUCCCGAAACCUUAUAACAAUAUCUAUAUUCUUAAUUUAAACCUAUGUCUUAUGUGCUUUCCUCAUAUUUCGACAAAAAAUUUCAUAUAUCAAUCUUCAUCAUAUAUCAAAAAUAUUAUUAUGCUAGUAAUUUUCAUAUUGCAAAUAGAUAUUAUAUCUAAAAUUACCCACUCCUUUAAGAUGCAUUUUUCCAUAAUUCAUUUUCAAAAUUAUACUCUACAUUCUUUUACUUUUUCAUAUGAAAAUUAAUAUAUAUAUAUAUAUAUAUUUGUUUUUCUUUAAUUUCAUAUUUUCUUGGCUACCAAUCACCAUAUCAAGAAUUUUAUAUGAAAAAAAAAUAAAAAAUAAAAAAUAGCAAUAAUUUACUUUUUUGUCUGUAUUUCUAUCCUUUGAAUUGAAAGUGGAGCUAAAAAGAAAGAAAAUGUCCCAAAUAACUAAAGUCCUUAAAAUUAACCUCAAUUUGAUCUUUAAAUAAAUAAAUAAAUAAAAUCCUAAUGAAACCUAAUAUGGUGGAAGAAAACCAUAAACCUUGUUCCUGCAAGAUCCAAACUCAUCCAUAAUCCACAUAUUUCAGCAUUCCUAAUGCCCACACUCUUUAAAUCACCUCACUUUUUAUAUAAGAUGCUUGCUUAUGAAAGAAAAAACUCUAAAAUAAUAAUAAUAAUAAUAAAUAAUAAAGAACAUGUUAAAAGGAAGACAAACAUUUAGGUAGAAGAGUCAUGUUAAUUGGUGUUGUUGAUAUAACAAGUGAAAUGGUAUUUUGAGGAACAAUUAAAUGACUCACCGAAAAAGUGCCUCUAUGAUAUAAAGUAUAAUAAUUUUAAAAAUGUUUUUAAAGUAUAAUAUUUUAAAAAGAAUUUUUAAGAUAUGCUAUAGUUGUUUAUAUUAUAAUUUAUAUCUCAAAUUACUCAUAUUCAUGAAUGGUUUCUAUAUAUUUAUUUAAAAAGCAGUAUAACUUUAUUUCUUCUAACAAGGUGUAUUGCUAAUAUUGUAAUUAUAUACUUGAACAUAUUAUUAUCUAAUAAAAUUGUUGGCAAAUUAGAGGGUUGGUCGCGUCCAUCAACUCCCCUUGUAUUCGCCGUGUGUGCUUGGGUGAAUGCACCAUAAAGUUAGGAUAUGCGCAUUUCGUAUAAGCAAUUGCUUUUAGGAUAAUUAGUAGCGUCUGAGGUUCUACAAGUGGUAUUAGAGUCGAGGUCACGGGUUCAAACUCUAGGCGUGUUGUUGGGGGAAGAUGUGCACUAUAAGGUUAGAGUAUGUAUCUUUCCUACAAGCAAUUAUUUUAAGGUAUGUGCAUUUCCUACAAGCAAUUCCUUUUAGGAGAAUUGGUAAUGCCUGAGAGGAGAUGUGCACUAUAAAGUUAGAGUAUGUGCCUUACAAAGUAUGUGCAUUUCCUACAAGCAAUUCCUUUUAGGGGAAUUGGUAGCUUUCGAGGAUUUAACAUGUAUCUAAUUUUCAUGCCUAUCUAACCAAGAAUUUGAAAUGAAAAUGAAAUUCACUUUACAACUUUGAAUCAAAUCAUCCUCAAAUAAGAAAAGUUCCAUCACUAAUCUUUUGUGGCAAAACCCUCAAAUCUUUUCUUUUUUAAAAAAAAAUUUAUAUGGCCUCCAUCAUUAAUCCUAAAUUCAAUUUGAAAUUUGAUUCUAGAAAAAGUAAUAUGACUUCUCGUCCUAAACCCAGGUUGAUCCUAUAAAUAGGAGCACAACCAACGAUGGUGGAGGCACGCCAUCUUUCGAUUUCUAUUCUUCAGUUGUUUUUCAUUCUGAAAGCAGCUAGCACCAUGGAAACCCAAUCAGGUUUGAAGCACGCACUUAAGCCUAUUAGAAUUGUGCCUAAAGAAGGUGAUGAUCAGGAAGAUCAUCAGCCAUUGAGUCCAAUGACUCGUUUGUUUCAUGAACCUGACUGCAAUCUCUACGUUAUCGCCAUGAUAGGCUCGAAAACUCGCAUCGACCCUGACGUGGUUAAAGCCAACCUGGUGCAUAGUCUCCUUAAACACCCUCGUUUCUCUAGUCUGCAGGUAGAAAUCUUGCAUGCAAGAAGGAAUGAACUAGCCAUUUAGUAAUUUAAAGCUACACUGAACAUUUUUGAACUAAAAUGCAGCGGUGUUAUUCCAAAAUCCAUUGUGAAUUUUUUCAGUAUUAUUAAUCUAUUUCCAUUGUUUGCUAACCAUUAAAUCAUCUUCCAAAAUCAGGUUAUGGAGGAGGAAAAGGGAGGAGAGAUGAAAUGGGUUCCAACAAAAGUUGAUUUGGAAAAGCAUGUUAUAGUUCCAGACAUGUGUUCCGACAUGGAAACAUCAUCAGACAAGUACGUGGAAGACUACAUUUGCAACCUCACUAAAACAACCCUAGACCUUUCCAAGCCAUUAUGGGACCUUCAUCUCCUCAACGUCAAAACCUCCGACGCCGAGGCCGUCGCCGUUUUCAGGAUUCACCACUCCCUCGGCGAUGGCACGUCUCUCAUGUCUCUUUUACUUGCAUGCACACGCAAAGCCUCGGAUCCCACGGCUCUGCCUUCGGUUCCCAUGAUGAAGAAACCAAAAUUAUCGGUUGGGUCUGGAAAGUGGUGGAAGGCUUUCAGACUGGUUUGGAAUACUAUCAUCGAUGUUUUGAUGGUGAUCGCCACAGUGUUGUUCUUGAAGGACAGAGACACGC
This 57946-nucleotide long non-coding RNA is filed under the name Vitis vinifera (wine grape). Its description in RNAcentral is "long non-coding RNA (VVIN_LNC005211)". Lineage: Eukaryota; Viridiplantae; Streptophyta; Magnoliopsida; Vitales; Vitaceae. The record is from RNAcentral.